RNAcentral lists this long non-coding RNA (69475 nucleotides) under Lactuca sativa (garden lettuce). Its description in RNAcentral is "long non-coding RNA (LSAT_LNC009805)". Lineage: Eukaryota; Viridiplantae; Streptophyta; Magnoliopsida; Asterales; Asteraceae. The record is from RNAcentral.
GCAGAAGGAUAAAAGUUUCUCAAAUCUGAAAAGAUGGGAGAGUACUUUAGUAUCAGUUUUGUGAUCAUCUUAAUGAUUUAGAGACCUUAUCACAAUUCAUCCUCUAAGAGCCUUCUUAUAGCUAAGAAGAGGAACUUGAAUUGUUGAAGUGGUUAAAUCAAGAAGAUGAUUCAUACUUCGUUCCAAAAACAAUUCAUAGAGUUAUACUCUAAGAUUGUAACUUGAGUGACAUGUCUUAAAGAAGGUUUAAAACACUUGUCAAAUGUAAGAGUAAAAGUUUUCUACUCUUGUACAUUUGAAAUUGGUAAGCUGUGAUGUUUUGGAUAAAACAAAGAACAACUUAGGCCAAUUAUGUGAAGUGUUUGUCUUGAUUAGAAUCCACAUUAUCUCUUGGAUGUUUGACAAGGGAGUCUUAUAGGUCAAGAGGACAAUGAGAGUCUUAAAGGUUUUGAAACUCUCAAGAACUAAUCAAGAACAGAACCUGAAGUUCUUCACUAGCAAACGACUUGAGGUUUAUAACCUAUCGUGUUGACAUAUUCUGUGCCCAUUCCAGUUAAAUUUGGCUUUGCAUAUGAGUUCUUAGAGUUCUCAAUUGGUUGCACAACAACUUGGAAGCAAUGGCAGGCCCUUGAGCUGCCAGGUGGCAAGAAAUUAAGAUUGAGUUCAGUCCAUAUGAGUUUGGAUUUGUCAUUAUCCUUGUCUUGUGACUAUGGUUUUGACAAUUCACAUGGAUAAGAACACAUACACCAUUAAAUCUAAGUGUCAUAAGGUUUCUCUCCGAUUCAUGAAAAUGAUGGUGAGGAAACACUUUCACUAAGUAGAUUUUAGCUAGAUAGCAAUUGUGAUAUUUGCAUUCUCAAAGUCGUUAGUGGAGCGUGUGUGGUUUACCGGCACACUAACCUGGACUUGUGAGAAGUGGCAAAAAGGUCUAACCAUUAUGAUUACGGCAUCCCUCUUCAUAAUUGUUUAGACACACAAGUGUGCUAUCUAAGGGAAGGUGUAUGAUUUUGAUAAAGUUUUAUCAAAACAAUCUAGUAUCAGAAAUCUGAACUUUGGUAAGAAAGUCAAUGAAGUAUUGAUUUCUAGAAGUCCAGCUGAUUUCUGAGUACAUGUCAAAGCUAGUGGGAGCAUAAGUGUUAUGCUAAUAAUCAUCAUGUUAGUGGGAGCAUGAUAAUUAUGAUAAGUAUUGCAAGUUAGCAAUGUUAAUUAUAGAAAACAAAAGUUUCAAUUGGGAAAAAGUUGUUUUGCUAUAAUUAAGGGAGAGGAAAUUAUGCUUCAUCUCAAAUCUAUAAGCUUAGAUCGUGAGGUUUUAAUCAUUUAGUCAAGGAUAUAUAUGAAUUUCAUGUUGGAAUGGCUCAACAUAAGGAAAUUCUGUAUAUGGGUCCAUUAUUUGCGUUCUAAAAUUCGAUUAUGAUUACGGCAUCCCUUUUCAUAAUCUGAAUUAUGAGAACUUGGCAAAUUGAAAUGGAAAUAUUAUAGCAAAAGACUGGUUUAGUCUUUAUGUGAGACAUCAUGAAUCGUGUCCCAUAUGCUUCGGAUAUAGGAUCGAUUACAUGUGCUAUAUUCAUCCGUUCUAAAAUUUUCCAAAUGCCUGGGGCAUUAAGAAGGGAAAAGGUUUAGAACUGGAUAUGACUAAAAGGAUUAAACAAUUGUCGAGGACAAUCUAAGGUUUACCAAAGAUUGGUUGCUCAAGGACAAUUGGAAGUAUAGUGAUAAUUCUGGAAGGACCAUAUUGACAUAAUCUGUAAGGAGGCAACUCUUGUUCAGAAGUGAUAGUCAAAAUGGAAUCUGGAAAUGUUUCAAAGUUAGAAUUUUCAAUCUGUGUAAGAUUAAGGAAACUUAAUGCAAGAAGGAUAUUUCCAAGGAGUUGAUCUCCUUUGGAAUACUCUGUAAUGAUUGUUGCCAAGUCUUUGUGACUUUGUGCAUAAUCAUUACAAGAGGAUCAAUGCAUAUAAGUUUAGAAUCUAACAGAUUUCAGUAAAUGGCAUGAAUUUGGAAUUCUUGCAUUUGCAGUAAGGAUUUGGGAGUGUGAAAAGAGAAUCAUUGAAGUUAUGUUCAAUUGAUCUAGUUCACAAAGUAAAGAUCAUAGACAAACAUAGUAUGCAUACUUGGUGUGUGGCAUGACUAGUGUUUAAGAAAACAUAGUGUACAUGCUUGGAGCAUGGGACAACUAUUGUUUUAAAUUCAAGAAUAAAGUUGAUAGCUGAAACAGUAUACAAUGAAUAAUGUGUAAUCAUAUGGUGAUAAAUAAAAGGUGUUUUAUUUAUGUUCAAAGGGUUGAUACCAUAUUGGAUUCAAUUAUUAUUGUGUUUCAUUUUGCAUGUUUUGACUUCCCGAAUAAACUGGGUUAUUCUUCCGGAAUGACUAAGUUAUUCAAACCAUCCACAGUCGGUCAUAUGUUGGAAGUAGAUAUGAAUUAAGACUGUCAUGGGUUGGCUUGUAGAGGUCUAAGGUGUUGGACAAAGGGCUACAACACUCAUGAGUGCUCAUAAGUUCUGAGUAUUGGAUUCAACCCGCGCUCAUUGGAAUCACUUCAUGGAUUUUAUCACGAGUGAUCAUGAGACGAUAAUAUCUUAUAUUCUUCAAACCUAGAGAUAUGAGUUGUUACUAUGAGUUGAUAGUACAUUGAUUGCACGAAAACGCAUUUGGUAACUCGGUGCUAUAAAACGUGCCUUUGUGUAUGAUUCAACAAGUAGUAGAACAAGCCAUAUGAGUCGAAGUUUAUCCGUUCCUUUUACCUUCGGGAUAAAAGCGAUAUCUGUGGGCCCCUCGAUGAUUUGAUGAUGACAAAUGGAAGUGCUCGGCCGGGCCAGGACUGAUUUGAUUUGUUCAAUUAGUCAGUCGUCAUAAAUCGGAAAUCGGGAAACAACAAAUGGACAGAGAGAAUGAUUAUAAUCCAUGUCUCAGUCCAUAUGAUAUCUAGAAUGGAGGAAUAUAUGAUCCCUUAUCUAAUGGACAAGUCAUUGACAAAGGUCAGAGUUCAUCUACAAGGUCAGAGUUCGACAGAAGCUUUUGAGAGCUACGAUUGCCAGUUGGUUCCUGAAGUCAUACGCAAUAAUAGUUUUAGACUUAUCCAAGUGGGAGACUGUUGGAUUAAUGUCUAAGUCCAUAACUAUAAUUGGUAAGACUUGACCCGACCCGGCAUGGUCCAUUUGGGUUGCAUACCAUCAUGCACUUGGAUAGACUAUAAUGAGAGAAAUAAGACACUUAUGGUUAUUAAUAUAUUAUAAGUUCUAGUAUAUUAAUAAUAAGAAUAAUAAGAUUAUUUAAUUAGUAUUGAUCAAGAAUUAAUCUAGGAUUAAUUAAGUGAUCAAAAGAAGACUAAUUAAAUAUAUGGGUUGAUUGUGUAAAUCAUCCAUACUUGUAUAGUGGGCUAAUGCUCCAUUAAUGCUCCAUGGAUUAUCUAGUUGGGCUAAAACACAUAUGAUGCUCCAUGGUGUUUUUGUACCCAUGGAUCAUGGAAAUGAAAAGCCAUGUCAAUUAGGGUUUACAUGGUGUAACCAUAACUAUAUAAGCAUCAUAUUAUUCACCAAAAUCGGCCACUAGAGAGAGUAAGAAAGGGCUAGCCGAUUUUCAUAAAGUGUAGAAUUCUCUCAAGUCAUUCCAUUUGUAUUUGGUGUUGUGUGAACCAUUUGAGGUGUCACACUUGGGGCACUAGGCACUCAAGCUUGAAGACUUUCUACAUCAAAGAGGUAUGUAUUCUAUCUUGUUACAUUCAUUGUUUUGUAUGCUAGAUUAGGAUAAUACCUUGGAAGUUCUUAUUUGCAUGUAUAAUAGAGAAAACAUAGAUCCAAGGUAUUUAGGGUUGCAUGUACACUUAGGAGUGUUAGAAUGCUCAUAACCUAACAUAACCAUCCAUACUCUGCCCGAAAUCCAUAAAUUCAAUACCUUGUGUGACUCCCAAACAAGCCAAACCAACCAGGAACAUAAUAUGCUUCACUUCGCAACUUGAACCAUACAAAACUAUUUCGACCCUGAAUUAUCUUGCUGAUACAUUAGAAAAUAGAACCUCUAACUAUUCAUUGAUGUUGAACCCUCCACUUGAAAGCAAGGCAACUCCCAGCAUGAGAGUCAGCUAAAUAAUUGUUGUAGUGAAACACGAACAACAUCAACAUAUUCCACAAACUCCCUUUGACCACUACAAAAUCAAAGCAUCUUAUAAAUAAAACUCAAGAGUUCACUCGGAAUCCACGGCUGCUAACAAACAACCCAAUAACUUGAGAAUACUCAAUCGCAACAACUAUCUUUCUCUCCCUAACUAUAAGACCCAACUUCCAGUGAGAGCCACAUAAUCGGAGAGUAUCAAAACUACAACCACAACCAACUCCAUCAAUAUACUUCUUUUUCACAACUAGAAAUUUUUGUGCCUUGUAACUACAACACUUAAGUCAAAUUAUGAAUCAAGACAUGAAAGCAUGCAUGAUACUUACUCUAUGACAAAAAAACUUCAAUUAAACAUUUCAUACAAGCACUACAAAUAGUCAACAAGCAAUUGGAAACCCUAGAAGUUCUUGUUUAGGUCUAUUUUGGACUAGGACUUUCUUAUUGGGCCCAAUGGACCAAUAAGCUUCCAAUUUGACUAUCUUGGGCUUAGAACUCUUAAAUGGGCUCUAAUUGGACCCACUUCCAUGUAUUUCAAUAUUUUGGGCCAUAUUGGGCCUAGAAUGAAAUAAAUUAAUUAUAUGAACCAUUUUGGGGCAUAAUUUACCUAAUUUAGCCCUAAUAGGUCAUAAAAAUCACACUUAUAAUUAUUAGGACCAAAAAAAUCACUCAACAUAACUAUGAAAUUGGGCUUAAGCCUUUAAGGCCCAAAAUCUCUCUUCUCUUUCCAUUCUCGACCCAAGCCCAAAGGAAAAGAGGAGUUGACUUUUCCUAUGCCACCUCACAAUUGCCUAAAGGAUUUCUAUGCAAAAUAACCCAUACAUCCAUGCAUUUCCCAUACUUCCAUGCAAGCACUCUCUUCUUCUCCCUCUCUCUCUUGCUCUCGGCCGAAUCCAAGCACACACACACACACACAUUUCACUCACAAUUCUCUCAAGAAACUCUCUCAUUUCUCCUCCAUAUUUUCGAGAUCUAAGAGGUGUUCAAGGGAUUUCUUCCAUAAAAAUCAUCAUCUAAGGUAAGAUAUUGCUUAGAUCCAUAAGCUAGCUAUUUCAUUUCAUUCAAGAAUCAUCUCUUAAUUCAUUCAAACUUAUGAUCUAGCACCUUAGAAGCAUCCAAGUUCGAGAUCUUUCAAGAAAGGUUGCUAGGAUCGAAUUCUUCUCAUCUUUUCCUUCCAAAACCGAAACCACACCCAAGGUGAGCUUCAUACCCCCUCUUUUUCGGUUUUUAUGAGUUUUUAUGGGGGAGAAUACAAGCAAAUGUGUAGAUCUAUGAGUAAAUGUAUGCCUUGUGUGAUUUUUAUGCUUGUAUGUAUGAUUUUAUGUGUUUUGUGAUGAUUAUGUUAGCCAAAAAGUACCUAAAAACCGAGAUCUAUAACAUGAGGAAUGAAAUAAACAUAACUUACACCAUUUUACACUAAUCAAGUCAAGAAAAAUAGUUCAUUUGGUUAGGAUGAACAUAUUUGGACAUAAAACCCAUUUUUGGGCUUAAAUUGUCAAAAAUACAAAACUAAGGGCCCAAAACGACAAAUGAUAAUUUCUGGAGGUUGAAAAGGGUCCAAACAGUUUCUAAUAUAAUUUUUCUGAAUAUCAACAUUUUUGAGGGGCUUAAAAUGUAAAUUUUGAACAUAAUGGGCUAAAAUGGGCUUUUCGGCCCAAUAAGCCCCAAAUUGCGAGAUUUUUGAAAUUGAGGGGCUGGAAAAGCAACUUUCUGUAAAACAGAGGAUUACAAGUGUAUUAAAACCAAUUCAAAGGUCAAAAAUGUUUUUCAAAGUCAAAAGGGAUCAAAAAUGCAAAAAUUUUCCAUUUUGGGCCAAAACUGUAAAGUUUGCGAAAAUGGGGGUUCCAACCAUGAAAACUUCAUUUUUGAAGGACUUAAGCUGUUUAUCAAGUAAAUCUGGGCUGAAAAUGUCUUUUCAAUAAGUUUUGAUACUAAAGUGUCAAGAAAAAUGGUUUAAGGACUAAAAUGGAAAUUCUUUUAUAUAAAGGAUUAAAAGUGUAAAUUUUAUCCAAGAAGGGUCAUAAAAAGGUAAACUCUUACUUUUAAACAAAUAAAUCCCUUAAGAUAAAAUACGAGCACCACGACUACCGGCGAAACGUAAUAACAAAUACACUUUCAACACCAAUAUCGUUACCAAACGAAUUGAUUCGGUCUCGAAUCAAUAACGAAUCAAAAAUCAAUAAACAAUAGUACUACAAUAAACACAUGAAAUUUACGAGAAGUCAAUAUUCAAUCUUUGGGCUUGAAAGUUUCAAAUCGUGCUUGUUGGGCCUAGCUAGCCCAAUAAAAUGAUCUUUAGGCCCGAAGGGAACGCGCUUACAUGUUAUUGGGCCUUCUAUGACCUAAUUCCAUGUAAAAGGACUUUCAAUAGCUUUAUUGUGUUUUUGGGCCCUAAGGGUCCAUUGGUACUGCUAGCAAAGUCGAGAAGUCAAAUGCAAAUCGGCCAAGUGCCUUUCGCAUUCCCGAUAGCCUUGAACGACUUAUGGAAAUAAUGGGGGCUUCGUACCCUCCUUUCUCCUCGGUUGUGGGGCUAUGAGAAGUUAAGGUGGUUGGAUUAAGUGAGUAGUACGGACGACGCCUAAGGAAUCGUUUGUAUUUGGUAGUUAUAAACUAGUCAUUUUCAUUAAUGCGUGAUUAUAACGACUCACAACCCAUAAUUAAUCCAAUGUCACCUAGAAUUAUCAAAAAUAAUCGUCGUAUCGGUAUAACAAUAAAUAAGACACGGAAUUUUAUGUAUGAGGAAAACAUCGGGUUUUCCCGGGAAGUUCAACACUUUUACCUAUGUGAUGUAUACAAGGUUUAACAAUUAUACACGUUUACAAAAAUCGACAAGUAUACUACGGAUCUCCACACUUUUUCUUAUAUACAAUACUCGUUUCAGAAAAUAUCAGAUUUUCUGGGUUUUCAAACUUCACAAAAAUCAUUAUUUUUCAAACAUGACUUAUGAACUCACCAACAUUUCAUAUGUUGACGUUUUUCCAAAAUACUUGUAUUCUCAGGUAACAAGUAAAUCGAAGAAUAUGUAUCCAGUGAUGUCAUGGUGUUUUGUUUAAAUUAGUAUCGAACGGUUUAAGUUAUGGAAAUGUAAUGUUUAAAACAAUGUACUGAAUGUAAACAAUAUCAGUUGUAAUAUUUCAAUGCAUGGUGAUGAAUGAUCUUAUGAUUCAUGUAUAAUCAUUGUGAUGGUAUUCGAUUGAGUCACAAUAGCCCUCAGACGUUUUCGCCGUCUGGUUCGGGGGUGUGACAUUCUUGGAACUGGGACCCCAUCAGUUCUAAACUUCAAAAACUGUACUCUAAAACUAAUGUUCAUCCAUUCGUCGACCCUACCCCUAGUCCCUAACUAGGAACACCACCAAAACAUGCGGAAAGAAUACUCGAAACAUACUGAUCGCGAGGUUUGCCCAAUCCCAAAUCCAGAAAUUAUGACUAAAACUUAAAUACACAUUUGACAUCCUGACAAGUCAGCACCGACUUACUGCUGCCACGAGCGUAAUGAUGGUUCAUCCAAGAAUUUUACGUUGCAUCCAAGUCCCCUAUCAGCUCAGGUGUACAUCCACCUGACAAAUCACUCGAGAAAUUUACAAUGAAUUUAAUGACUCGCGAUUCAAUAAAUGACCCAAUAUUGGUAACCAAACUCCUAACAACCUUUAGCUCCCCACAUGAUCUAAACUGGUUGGUCACUGAGACUCCCGACUCCCAAAAACAAUGCACUAACAUCCAACCAUGACAAAAUAGACUAACGAUCUAAGAUCUAAGAGUCUCAAUCAAAUGACUAUUGGGUCCCACCGAUAAUGAAUCAUAUAGCUACUGGCUCACAAUACAUUGUGAAACCUGCUAACCACCAAAUGAUAAGCUCACAAUAUUAUGUCGAUCUUGCCGUCAUCUUAUUAAUGGCCUGAAGACACACCGCCAGCACCAUACGGGCCUAAAGAUACCCAACAAUCAAUCCACCGACUUGCAAAAACCCAAUCAACAUCCCUCUCAAGGCUAACCGAAUACAACACGGGUCAUACCCUUCAAUCACGUAUAAAUCUAUUCUCAUUACAAGUUGCUAACAAUGCAAAAUCAGACGAAAACAUGACUGCACACAACCAAAUAAUGAGAUAGGCGGUUGCACUCUUGUUCUAAUUCAAGGGCUACAAACCUUUUAAGAACCAUGCCAAUAACUCGAACCAAGUGUUCUCAUGCUAUCUUGCUCGUCCUACAUAUAACCCCAAGGGAAACACAUAAGUAACCCUAGAUCUAUGCUCUACUUAUUCCUCAAAAGCUUACAUAUAGGGUGUGGUACCCGUAGAUCUAACCGAAAUGACGAACCCCAACCACUAAUAGAAACAUCCUCAUGAAUAGCCGAAACUAAGAUCCCACACCUUGAUUGAAAAUGAAUAGGUCCUACGAAUACACAACUACCUCGAUAAAACUUCCAAAGCCAAUAGAAAUGCGGUCAAAACCUUGUUCAGUUCAAUCCAGAUACAAACCUGGCCGAUGCGACAUGCCAAAAUUGGAUUCUACGUAGAUCCAAAGCCAUACCUGAAAACUAAUCAAUGCUGCCCUAACAUCCAAACUUCCAAUAACACAAGACAUCUGCCAAAAUCCAGCAUGAUAUGAAUAAUAAUUUCACAACCAACCAUUGAGGGUACCAAUAUACAGAAACCAAAAUGUGCAAUGUACAAAUCUUGACAAUAGGCGGACACAUCCAUUAAACUCCAACUAAUACAACUCUAAACUUCUGAAGAACCUCUACUAUUGAUGAUGAACGAAAAGACCAACAAUUGAGAAUGCAUUGACAACUAAUCCAUUAAUCUAAUACACUACUGGAAAAAGCCCAUUAGGGACUAAAAAUACCAAAUCUAAAACUGAUUGACCGAUCAGCAACUGCCAUCCUAGACUAUAGAUAUCAAUCUAUACAACAAGCUGAAAAAUCCAUCACAAUUGAAAUUCAACCAGAGCGACCCAAACGCCUCUUUACCUAUUCCUCGAUGUUUCUAAAAGGAACCAUUGGCUACAAUGAACUCAUUGUCCAACAGCUUCUUGCCGCGAAGACAAAUCUUGCAUUCAUGAACACAUACAUCUAGUGGCAACUUGCUCUGCACCUCCGUAUUGACUAAAUCCUAAACCAAAUUUUUGCAUACCUGAACUUCAAAUCCAUAUGAGCCAUUCUUCUAAAACCAUAACAUGAAUAGAUAGAUGAUUUUCCGAGCAUAAUAUCCAGCUCUCCCCUACUUAGGGUUCUAAUUACCACUAACUGACAUUGGAAACAGACCAAACUCAAACCGGCUCACCUAGUUACAUAUUAUUCCCUGAACCUUGGAAUGUAUAACACCACGCAAGAUGAUCUUCUAGAUAAAGACCAAACAAACUCACAGAGAGUUUGAAUCUCAUAUAGAUACCUUCGGAACUCCCCAAUCCUGAUUGUUUCUAACAUCAGGAAUCCCAUGCAGAUGCACUAGCAAUAAUUUUGACAGUUCAUUCAUAAAACCAACUUCCUAUCUAGAAAUAAAUGAACUACUACACUCUUCGCCUAAAAUCCCCAACCGUCAAUGCAUCGCUAGAAUCAUUCAUAAAUACAAAAGGUAUCAUUCUCAUAGUCGGGAUACAUCAUAGACAACAUCAUUUUUCGCUCCUGAUUCACUUCCCUGAUCACCUGGAACCAUCAACUAGCACCUGACCUACCUAUAUCCAAAGAAAGUAUAUCAUGAUAUCAUCUCAGGGUAACCAUACCACAAGAAUCCUCUUGUGCAUUCCCACACUUCCGCCAAAAACUAUAGCCAUAUAGCCCCACGUUGGGUCUACAUCCCAACUCUGAAAAUGACAUGUCUGCUCUCUCUCUCUCUCUCUCUCUCUCUCUCCCUCUCUCUCUCUCUCUAUCUAUCUCUAUCUCUCUCUUUCCUUUGAAUACAGAAAGCUAAUAGAUCAUAGCCUAUGCUAAAGGUAGUGACAUUCCGAUCCAUCCACCAAUCAUUCAGCCCCCGGCUACAAUCCUCGAGCCGAUCAUAAUAAUACCUUCUUUCUUGAUUCCUGCGACUCAACUUGAACUACCUCAAGCAAGGCUUUCGAGACCUCAAAUUCAAGUAACUCACCUAGGUCUGCACCAUUCAAACCUAAACUGACAUGGAAACUAAAGCCCAAACAAUCACCAAACUCAUCUUCCACCUGAACAAUCAAAACCAAAAGAUCGACAGUUACAGAAACAUUAUCACGAAUCAUGGUAUGAACCAUGUUAUCUACCCUCAACUAGUUGCUUAGAAUCCUCAUGACAUCCCUCGAUUUGAUUAUGGACUUGUGCUUCCAGUAGUAUAGGACUAAUACUACCUUUCACACCUAUCCAUACUUUCCUCAAGAAGCAUCUCGAGUCCUCUAAAUCAUCUACUCAUAAUGAUACUCUUAAUACCCACUAAACAGAAUAGCAACCACACUAAAGCAGUUCUUAGGUUCUCCUAGGAUCCCCACAUCUCCCUGCCAUCAGCUUCUAAAAAACCCCUAUUAAUGCCAGCUAACUACUUCAUGAAUACAAUUACAUGCAACAAAACUUAAAUAAUCUUUUGACUAAAAGACCCAACCCUAUAACAGUUAGAUUCAAACGAGAGCUGUGUAAUAGGGCCGAAUCAUUCAUUCUAAAAUUAUUUAACCUUUUCAGCAUGUAACUUAACAUAUUCAUUUAAUAGUUAACUCACAUCAAUAUGAGUCCCACAAAGCACAAAGUAAGCAACAUUGAGGGGUAAAGCUGUCUCGCACUAAGACAACAUAAAAUCAGACAGAUCAUUACACAUAAAUUCUGAACCACUAGGCCCAAGCAUCAAGGGUACACAUACAUCUUGUAUCUAGUCUCUCAAGAGUGGCUAAUCAUUCCUUAGGUCGGCCUGCUAUAAUUGUACUCACUCAUGAAACUUCCACCAAUCCUACAACCGUUCGUGCAUGCUAAUCAUACAAAAUGUUGGAUUCCAUAUACAGUCGAAUACUUGAUUCUACCCUAAGCCAACAACCAAACAAGGAAUAGGAAAUAAGGCUAAACCAAACAUUCUCAGGCUAUAUAAUCUUAGUUAUGUACAAAUAUGAUGUACACACUAAGAAACUAUAGUAAUGAUGUCAAUUUCAUCUAACAUACAAGAAGUUCUCCUAUGCUAUAAGGCAUCAUACAUCAGGAAAUUCUAUCAUUCAAUUCCUGAAGAUCCCUAGCCUACCACUAUGAUGCAAUUCUAUCAUAAACAUCAUAACAAAUAACAGUAAGGGUAUCUUGGGGUAUACUUUCUUGCUUCGGUUGAUCAUACACAUCUCAUCCUUCUCUAGUUACUUUAGAAAACAGUUAGGAAAUAUAUUUUGAAAACCUUAUAGGUCCAUAGUUUGAGUCUGCAUUCACACGAGUGCUUAUCCAGUUCACUCAAACGAGGGCUCUGAUACCACCUUGUAACAUCCCAAAAAUCAAGGUAAAUUUUUCAUUUUAAAACCAUUUAAUAGCCCAUAACUCUUACAAAAACAUAGUUUCCAAAAGUCAUAAACAUGAAUCAGAGCAUCCCAAAAUCAUAACCUCGUAAAAACCAGGAUGAUGUGCAUGAUCAAGCAUUCUCCUUGUCCCGAUCAUUUGAAGUACAUGAAACAUAACACUUAAACUGUACGUCAAAGAUUAGUGAGUUCCCCAAAAUACCACCGCACGACAUAACAUAUACAAUCAUGCAUGUUGGGUCCACUCAGUCAUCGAUCUGGAAUACCCUUGGGUCCAGCCAUUAAGUUGGAUUACCCCUGAGCCUACAUCAUGUGUCUAGCUUGCCUUUCUGGCCUAGAACUCACGUCUAUAUUGCUACUAAGACCACAUUAUAAGUCUAGAUUGCCUAUCCGGCCCACAUCUUAUGUCUGGCUUAUUCUUAUGUUUAUUGGCUUCUGUACAAAGCAACAUUAAAUCAACUCAACCACACUAUGUUGACAUAUGCAACAGAUAAACACUUCACCAACAAAACAGAUAAUUAUGCAGAUAUAAAAGAUCACUACAGCAUAAGAACAUCCUAGACAGUAGGAUACAUAACCGAAUAGAUCGGAAUUUAUGCCUUCGACCCAUAAGUACAGUGAGGAAACUCAUCUCAUAGUCUGAAAUGUAGUUGAACAAAUCACAACACCAACUACUGACUCUAUAGGUCACCUAUACAACAAACAGUGACCUAAUCUCAUAUUACUUCUCAAAAUACCGAAAAUACCCCUAGGUCAAAGGUCAAAGUCAGAAAGAAAAAAGGUCAAGUAAAUUAAAACUAAUUAAGUAUGCCCUACAUACUGAGCCACUACAUUGGGCAUAUGUCACACCCCAAAACCAGAAUGGCGGAAACGUUCUGGGGCGGAGGACGUCAUGUAUAGUAUCACAACAAUGCAUAAUAGUAAACAAGCACCAACAUCAUCCAUUGCAUUAAUAAUAUAAUUUUAAUACAAGUGUGUUCUAUGUAUAGCUUAUAAGACACCAAAAAUGAAUAAGCAAAAUAAAGACGAGUCUUGAAAGCUUCGUCUUCUCAAACCCUGGUCAUCGGUACCUAUCUACUGGUGACCUGAGAAUACAAGUUAUUUUGAAAGAGUAGAUCAACAUUAAAGUUGGUGAGUUCAUAAGUAUUUUAGUGUCAUUGUUUGUAUGAAAGUGUUUGAAAAUGUUUGAUGUAAAUGUUUGUAGUAAAUGUUUGUAUCUCCUAGAAAAUCCUAUAUUUUCUAAAAAAAAGGUACCUUCUACCAAGGCCCGAAUGUUCUGUGUGCUGUUUGGUUUGUAAAAGUGUGUAUAUUUCCCAAGUAUGACUAUCAUUACCAAAAUAUAGCUUACAUUACCAUUUAUGUGAGAAGAUCACAAUGUGAAUGGGAAAAUNAAAUAACGAUGUACUGUGGUAUUGUAUAUAAGUAACUACUAAUGUACUAACUACCUUAAACCAGUUUGAUAAUUAAGGUAAAAUGUGAUGAGGUUGUAACCAUACUUGAUUGACUAUUGAAACAUGACGCUCGAAGGCGUCGAAAUGGUAUGACAUUCGUCACCUGUAGAUCUGCAGGUCCCACUGUACCUAGCAGCAAGGUGUAGGACAAUCAAUCUCAUAUAGAUCUAUACACAAAUUCAUUCUCUCCCUCCAGGAGACUCUGGUUGCAAAACGUGACACAGUAGUAGAUUGCCAUGCCAUUAAGUAGUGGCUCACAUUAAUGUUAUAGUAUUCUAGUGUUUGUAUAGUAUGUUCUAGUGUAUUGUAUGAUCUCUUUGUUCUAGUGCAUAGUAUGUUCUCUUUGUAUAGUGUAGUGUAUGUUCUCUUAGUUUCUCAUCAUAGUAUGUUCUUUCUGUUUCUCAUAAUAGUAAGUUUGUAUUGACUCAUGAAUACACUGACUCUUGUAUGGUUCAUUGUACUAGAAGUAGUGACUAUUAAAUCCCAAAACUAUACCUAUUAUAGUUUACUAGCAAUGUUGUUUGAAUGACUGAGUAUGUUUGUACACCUUUGCUACCCAAAGGUGCUGAACUGAUGUAAGAACUUUUAUAUCCAUACAUAUAUACAUAAUAUAUAACUAAGAUUCAAAUGACACUCGGACAAUAACUGGAUACCCUAAGUCCACAACCAAACAAGGAACAAGAAAUAAAGUGAGUUAUUAGUCCUAAGUCCUUUCAAUCUUACUUAUAUAACUAUAUCUAUAUAGACAUGAUUUUGACAAUAAAAAUAAGGUUAAAAGAGUUUAAUAAAGAGUUUAACAUAAAAAGAGUUCUAACCAUUUGAAUGGUAACAGAUGACUUGAUGUAAGUUUAUAAAAUGUUUUGAAGAGUUGUUUGAUAAAACAGUUUGAAGUAUAAGAAAAUCCACUUGUUUGAUAGUUACUAAUCACAUGUGAUUGAUAUAACAACUAUUAUGUUAUCAACUGGUAAUCNCCCCCCCCCCCCCCCAAUAAAAGUAUUUAAAAUCAUUUAAAAUGUAGAUUAAGGGGUGUGAACUCACCUGUAGUGAGUGAUGCGGAUGUAAGAGCGAUUGUAGGAUGCUAAGUGCUAAGUGAAAUCUAGGGCACAAGCGGAUCCUAAUAAGCAUAUAAUGACACAUAUAUCUAUAUAAUUAGUGUAUAUAAAAACUAAUCAUGAUAGGGAACCACCUUAGGGUCUAGGAAACACUUGGAUUGAAGUGUUACAAUCAAAUGUGAUUGCACAUAAAUGGGUUUACGGCCACACAUGGUGUUCACGGCCAUGAUGUUUACGACUCAAUGUGUUUACGGCCAUGGGGUUUAUGGCCCUAUGAGAUUACGGUCGUACACUCAUGAAGACAUAUGCCAAAGAGUGUUUUAUGGUCCUAUUCAGCAUCGAGGAAGUGUGUCUUGACCCAUUCCUAGCCUUAAGAAUAGUUUUUGGCCAAACUAGGAACCUUAACAAGGGUUUACGGCCAAGGGACAUGCUCAUGGCCGUAAACACUCAUUGUUCUAGGAAAAAUGGUUGUUUUCAAGGGUGUAUGCUAAGAGCUUUUAUAGUAUAACUAGUAUAUGGAAGAUUACUUACGUUUUGAAGCAUGAAGGGGGNNGGGGGGGGGGGUGUUUAAGCUCCAAGAAGUAGUGUCUGUUCUUGGUGUUCUUGAAGAUCUAACCCAAAAGAUGAAUUUCAUAGCUGAAAUCAAAGGGUGAUACUAGAUUAAGAGGAAUAACAUCUAUAGCAUGGAAAGAAUGCUUACUCAUUUGAAGAUCAUGGUGAAAAUCUUGAUGAUAGUUGAGAGAGAACCCAAAAUAUAGGCUUGGAAGUGUAAGAAAUGACUAUAAAUGAAGGUAAAUGUAACACCCGGAUGUCAAGGGAUAAUAUUUUGAGUACUCAUUUCGAGACAUGAGGAGUGACUCACAAGUUAGUGCCUUAACUCGUCGAGUAGGGUCGCAUUUUGGUGACAUGUUUAAUGAAUGGACUCGAUGAGUCGGGUAUCUGACUCGCCAAGUCAGUGAUGCUGAGGAAAACCCUAAUUGUUCGGGUUUGUGACAUAUUUAAAGGCCCUUAUAGCCUUCAAUUGCAUCCACACUUCCCUUGAGAGACCCUAAUUGAUCCAGAGAGCAUAAAGAGAAAGAGGGAGCUAAUUUUCAUCAUUUUGGGUGCAUUUUUGCAAGGAAGAAGGAGAGUGUUCAAGCUAAAUUGUUGGAAGGGCUCAGAUCUACUACUAUUCUGUUCAAAGCUAUUGGUUAAGGUAUAAAUCUCUACCUGUUUUCGUAUAGUUAGUAGAUCUCAUGGAUUUAGGGUUUCUUUACCCUCUUUUAAGUUGAGUUAUGAUGAAAGUGAAGUCCCCUUGAGGCAUAGACAUCAAAUCUGGACCUUGAGAGGUUCAGAGAGUCCCAUGAUCCCAACUUUAUGCUGUCAUAUAAGAGUAUUGAGCCUAAGACACCAUUAUAAGGGUUAUUUUAUCAAAUAGAGCUCAAUAUGCGGUGCAUGGACAUAAAGAUUGAACCUUUACGUGACUUUUGGGUGCUAGAAGACCAGAUCUAUAACUUAGAGAAACAGAUCUGACCUCAAAAGGUCAAAUGAGUAUUGCCAUGGAGGAAACUCGCCGAGUCCAUGAGAGGACUCGAUGAGUCGGAUCGGGUUGCCCCAUGAUUCGUGACCAGUGGUAACCCGUCGUGUGAAAGGUUAACCCGACGAGUUGAGUGAGGCCUUAGGAGGAUUCAAAGGACACACAUGGACUCGCUGAUUCACCCGAGUGCACUCGAUGAGUCUGGUCAAAGUUGGACCGUUGACUGGAGUUCACUUCUGUUGACCUUAGGGUUUUGGGUCAAACUGAUUCAACAGAGGCCAUGGAGGGGUAGAAUGGUCUUCUACCCAUUCUUUAGAGAUGAGAACAUAAAGAGAGUAUUGAUUAGAGAUAUUAUCAUUUUGAUAGGAGGAGGCUAGAUCGGGGAUAUCGAGAAUGAGAGUAUACUAGACAUCAUACGAGGUGAGACUUCUCACUAUAUAUUACCUAGAGUGGUAUCUGUGUGCAGACCGAAGGGUCUUAUGUGUAUGUGUAUGUGUAUGUUUGAGAUUUAUGUGCAUUGCAUUAUAUGUAUGCUAUGUGUUAUAUAGACUAGACCAGAGGGUCCAAUGACUUAUGAGGCCAGAGGGUCCUCGAUCAAACCGGACCGGAGGGUCCAACGAUUUAGACCGGACCGAAGGGUCCAACGAGCUAGACCGGACCGGAAGAUCGAACGAGCUAUGGGACUGGAGGGUCCCACUGAGACACGUUGACCGCAGGGUCAUACCGAGUUAUAGCCUCGAGUGGCUUAUGUGUUGUAUAUGGUAUUUUGGGGAACUCACUAAGCAUUUAUGGAUACCGUGUUAUGUGAUAUGUGUUUUAGGUACCAACGAGGAUCGCGGGAAGGUGCCGGCAUGAUCUGUACACACUGAUAGAGUAUUAUGUAUUAUGUACUUGAGAUUCUGGGAUAUGUUUUAUUGAGAUAACAUUUCAUACAUUUGAGUUUUUAGACUACUUAUGAGAUAUGUUAUGUUUAAAAAUGAAAAAUUGUUGUGAAAAUUCAUUUCAUUACAAGUUGGUAUCAGAGCCUUGGUUUGAGGGAUUCGGAUGCACCUUCGGGCGUAUCUAAACUCAAACUGAGGUUUUGAGAAAAAAUUUCAUAAAAGAAACAAUUUUUCUAAAAGAGUAAAAGAUUUUUGAGAAAAGCAAAACGGAGCAGUGUGUACGAUCAGCCAGCGCCCGAACGGUGAUUUCCCAAAAUGCCCUUAACUUUGUGUUAUGUGAUGUUAUGAGAUAUUUUAUGAGAUAUUAUGCAUGCUAUAGAUAGGAUAGGUAUUUCAUAUUUUAGGAUUAGAGUGGCCUGAUUUCUGAUGCCUUAGCCUAGGAGUUGCUGUUAUUUGUGAUGUGCUUUCGAGUAUGUGCUGAGUAAGAGUAUCCAGCAGGAAUCCUAUGUAGAGAGGGAUUUCAGUAAAGGAGUAAUCUAGGAGAGAUACCUAGAUGAGCAUUGGAGGAGCCUACUGAGAGUAGUUAGAUGCCCGCAUGGGGUAGAGUUGCUUGAGUUCAGUGACACCCGCUGAGUGUGAAUAGAGCCAAUAGAGCUGUAUCCUAGAGUGCUUUUACAUGCUGGUGGAGAUUAUUCGAUGCCCGGAUGCUGCUUGCUUCGUGCUUCGUAGAACUCUCGACGAUGGGAGUCAGCUAAUAAGUGAAUAUGACGAUAUUCAGGAGGUAGAUGGUUCGCAUCAUUAGGAGUUCUUCAGCAGCUGAUGGCAGAGAAGAGUGAGAACCUAUGGAGAGUCUAGGGUGUGACAAUGGUCAGAUGAGUACGUUGAUAGAGUAGAGAAUUUCGCUGGAGAUCGAACUCGCGUGACGGAAUUGGUGAUCGAAAAGGUUGAACAGCUACCUAGAAACUUGGGAUGGUCUGUGUAGAAAGUAUGGGUAGAUGUGGCAAGUAGUACGGGCCCAUACUACCGAAAGCAGAGGACCCAUACUCGAUACAGGGGGUAUUCCGGAGGAUCUAAGUAGUAGAUUGAGAGGUGAUGGCAUGGUUCGAGUACCAUGAUUUGUAGCAGACUGAGAGGUGAUGUCAUGGUUCGAGUACCAUGAUUUGUAGCAGAUUGAGAGGUGAUAUCAUGGUUCGAGUACCAUGAUUUGUAGCAGAUUGAGAGGUGAUUCCAUGGUUCGAGCACCAUGAUCUGAGACAGAUUGGGAAGAGGUAACAUGGGUUGAGUAUCAUGAUUGGUAACAGAUAGUGCUUAUGCCUUUUUCCAGUUAUCCCGUUGGGAUUGUUUGACUGAGGUCGGAUGUGAUAGAGUCUGGGGGCCAGAGGGCCGUGUUGCACGAGUUUCAAUGAAGCAUACCUUGAGAGGGAAAUCGGUUUAGUUUUGAGGAAUUUUUAGUGAGAUGCCAGUAGAAGUCACAAGACCCAGGGAUGAGUAAGGAUGGUGGUUAUGGAGGAUUACAGUCUGAGUUGAGUGAUUGACCGAUAGUGGAGAUGUCACCUUCUGUGACCUGAGCGGUGCUAUUUCUGUUCCUGUGGGAACCAGGAGAGGUAUUGAGAUUUUCGGUUACCGAGGAUGGGAGUGAGCCCUACGGGGUAGCUUUUGCUUGCGAUCUUUCAUCGGAGUAUCUGGGCAGUAUGUGUGCUGCGAGGUAAGGAUAUAACAUGAGCAGGUUGUCAGUGGGGACUGAGAUGGUCAAGGACCAAGAUACACCCUAUUUGAGCAUACUAGGGCAUGUGUUAGUUGCAACAACGAACAAUCAAGAGGAGUAUAUCGAAGUAGUGGCUCUUAUUAUCUAUGAUAGGUAUCGAGUGUGGAAAUGAGGUCUCUGCUCUUAUGAUAAUUCACGUGAUGGGACGUUAGUUGAGGAGUCGAGGAUGAGGAGUAUGUUAGUUCAUUAUUUUCAGACUGAGAUUCAGGGUUACUAUUGGACAAUUGACAUGUCCGGUAGUGGGAUGGUACGAGAUUCUGAAUGACUAGAGGCAAGCAUGAUGAGAAGUUUCUUAGGAUUUCAUUUGAGAUUCGGGGUAUUUGGAGUUGCUUGAUCUCCAUCGGGGAGAUCAUCGAUCAUUACGUAUCACCUUCCAAGAAUAGGUGUGAUGUUGCUAGUAAAAAACAAUAUGUGGGAUAGAUUGUUUGUGAACUAAUUGGUGACAGUUCGAACCUUGAGUGGGGGAGAACCGGGUACUUUUGAGGAGAUCAUAGAUUUGUUCAAGAGAAUUUAGAGAACUGGAUACAGAGACCUGGGGUACGGAUUCCUAAGACCAGGGUUAUUGGUGGUCAAGGCGAGGUACAAAGCGAGAUAGUGCAUGUGGUACGUGUUUGAGAAAGGAUGAGUGUCUCCACGGCAAGUGGCCGUUGGUAGGAGACCUUGAGGUGGUUUGGAAUCCUUCAAGGUUAUAAUGGUGAAUUCGAGGUGGUUGGGUUGUAAGGUUAGUUCGGCGGUUGAGAAUUUCUGGUUCAAGGUAUGGGCUAUUAUAUGUAGUGUGGGAAGGGAAGAAGUUGAUUGGGCAACUAACUUCAGGGUCGUUAUGAGUAUUCUUGCAUGAGUUUUGAGCAAUAGAUGAGGAAGUUUCAGAGUGUCGUCUAUGUGUUCUAAGUCGCUGACGACUCCUCCGUAUUUCAAUUGAGAGUUGGAAUAUUUCGGAGUUACAAGUGGUGCGAGAGGAAGAUCAGUUGCGAGAUUUUGAAAGGAUGCUUUGCGGUAUCAGGGUAUGAUACCGUGUAUAGGAGAUCGGUGGAUGAGGAAAGACUUCGUGAGGUUCGGUGAUGGUGUACCGAGGUAUCCGAGCAUGAUGCCCUUAUUAUCCGGUUAUUUUGAGGCUUGAAUUACGAGAUAGUAAGUGGAGUAUCAAGUAUCUACGAUUCCAAUGUGAGCCUUUCGGCAAGUGACCACAAGUGAGAUUAAUUAAGAAUGUGGAUUGUAGCAAGAAAAUGUGUGGUGAUACUACGGGGAGCUGUAGUACUCACCAGUAAGUGAGAGAAGGUGUGGUGAUACUAUGUGGAGCCAUAGUACUCAACAUUCAGUGAGAGAGGGUGUGGUGAUACCACGGGGAGCCGUAGUACUCACCAGUCAGUGAGAAAGGGUGUGGUGAUACUACGGGGAGUCGUAGUACUCACUAGUCAGUAAGGAAGUGUUGUGAUACUGCGAGGUGCCGUAGUACUCACCAGUCGGAGAAGGUGUUAUGAUACUGCAGGGAGCCGUAGUACUCACUAGUCAGUGAAAAAGGUGUUGUGAUACUGCGGGGAGUCGUAGUACUCACUAGUCAGUGAGAAGGUGUUGGGAUACUGCGGGGAGCCAUAGUACUCACUAGUCAGAGAGGGUGUUGUGAUACUGCGGGGAGCCGUAGUACUCACUAGUCGGUGAGAGGGUGUCGUGGUGCUGCAAGGAACCACGUUAUUCGUUAGUCAGAGCAUGACUCAGGAGAGUUCUUAGGCUUGAGUAGCCUCAUUGCAUUGAGUAUCCCAGAGCCUGGUGGCCAUAUCAGGUAAGAGAUGGAGGUCCCCAUAAUGGUCGGGAAUCAUUAUAUCUUGAGUUAGGCUGUGGAGACCGUAAUGGGAAGAGAUCGGAGAAGUGAUGUACGAGUGGGUUGCGAGUCAUGAGUCAUGAGUUGGGUGCUUUAUUGGGACGGGUGGUUCCAAUUUUGCGUCGGGCCAGACUCUCGAUUUGAGUUUGAUUCUAGUGGUUUAUCGAGUAAAUGGAUUGAGAUUCCGGAUUUAGAGAUGGAUUUCUUUUUGGAAGGGGUAUUGUUUUCAUCUGGUGUUUUGGAACUAGGUGGGUCAGUUUGUUGGUGUGGGAAAGACCGCGAGACGCAUGAGACUAAUGGGUAGUUUUCGACAGAGGUCGAGGGUGAGAUGAUUUUAGUUGGAUUAUAGUAAUCACUUGGGGUAAAGCGAGCUUCAUGUCUGGUGUGUGACAAUGGGUCGGGAUAGAUGUUAUGAGAAGGAAGUAUGUGAGACGCUUUAGGGCAUAUGAUUUUAGAUGUCAGAGGACACUUCUGAAGGAGCUUGAUUAUUUUCUUGUGUUUGAGGACAGGGCGUUGAGGGUUCAAUGUUUGGACAGAUUCUGACAGCAGUGCAGUGGAUGGGUCUUUGGUAGCAUGUGACUCUUUUGUCUAUGGAAGUGUGUUUGGGAUCAUUUGGUAUGUCUGGAAUGGGUGACCGGUAGCUGAUUGUUGGGCUUAUCUAUGAGAAUCAGAGGGCAGUAAGUUAUCAGGGUCUGUUAUUCGAGGAGCGACUAAUGUGAUGAUAUCUUGAGUGGACGGUCUGGCAGCGGACCAGACCACUAGAGUUCCAGAUUUGGAAAUUCAUAAGGGGUAUCUUAGCAGCAGGGGUCAGUUUUGUUCCGAAUUUAGGAGUUCUUGUUUGGGUUCAGGUAUCCAUGGAGUAAGAUAUCAUUUUGGUCUGAGAUCCUUUCAGUGGUGCUUUUAGGGUGUUUGGUUUCUAUCUAUGUGGUUAAGGAGCGAUUUCAAGGGCGAAAUCUAAUUCAAGUGGGGGAGAAUUGUAACACCCAUAUUUCCAUGGAUAAUAUUUUGAGUACUGAUUUCGAGAUAUGAGGAGUGACUCGACGAGUUGGUGCCUUAACUCGUCGAAUAGGGUCGCAUUUUGGUGACAUGUUUAAUGAAUGGACUCGACGAGUCGGGUAUCUGACUCGCCGAGUCAGCGCUGUUGAGGAAAACCCAAAUUGUCUAGGUUUGUGACCUAUUUAAAGGUCCUUAUGGCCUUCAACUGCAGCCACCUUCCCUUGAGAGACCCUAAUUGAUCCAGAGAGCAUAGAGAGAAAGAGGGAGCUAAUUUUCAUCAUUUUGGGUGCAUUCUUGCAAGGAAGAAGGAGAGUGUUCAAGCUAAAUUGUUGGAGGGGCUCAGAUAUACUACUAUUCAAUUCAAAGUUGUUGGUUAAGGUAUAUAUCUCUACCUGUUUUCAUAUAGUUAGUAGAUCUCAUGAAUUUAGGGUUUCUUUACCCUCUUUUAAGUUGAGUUAUGAUGAAAGUGAAGUCCCCUUCAGGCAUAGACAUCAAAUCUGGACCUUGAGUGAUCCAGAGAGUCCCAUAAUCUCAGCUUUAUGUAGUCACAUAAGAGUAUUGAGCCUAAGACACCAUUAUAAGGGUUAUUUUAUCAAAUAGAGCUCAAUAUGCGGUGCAUGGACAUAAAGAUUGAACCUUUACGUGACUUUUGGGUGCUAGAAGAUCAGAUCUAUAACUUAGAGAAACAGAUCUGACCUCAAAAGGUCAAAUGAGUAUUGCCAUGGAGGAAACUCGCCGAGUCCAUGAGAGGACUCGAUGAGUCGGAUCGGGUUUCCCCAUGAUUCGUGACCAGUGGUAACCCGUCGUGUGAAAGGUUAACCCGACGAGUUGGGUGAGGCCUUAGGAGGAUUCAAAGGACACACAUGGACUCGCUGAUUCACCCGAGUGCACUCGAUGAGUCUGUCAAAGUUGNAAAGUUGGACCGUUGACUGGAGUUCACUUCUGUUGACCUUAGGGUUUUGGGUCAAACUGAUUCAACAGAGGCCAUGGAGGGGUAGAAUGGUCUUCUACCCAUUCUUUAGAGAUGAGAACAUAAAGAGAGUAUUGAUUAGAGAUAUUAUCAUUUUGAUAGGAGGAGGCUAGAUCGGGGAUAUCGAGAACGAGAGUAUACUAGACAUCAUACGAGGUGAUUCCUCUCAUUAUACAUUACCUAGAGUGGUAUCUAUGUGCAGACCGUAGGGUCUUAAGUGUAUGUGUAUGUUUGAGAUUUAUGUGCAUUGUGUUAUAUGUAUGCUAUGUGUUAUAUAGACCGGACCAAAGGGUCCAACGACUCAUGAGGUUAGAGGGUCCUCGAUCAGACCGAACCGGAGGGUCCAACGAUUUAGACCGGACCAGAGGGUCCAACGAGCUAGACCGGACCGAAGGGUCCAACGAGCUACAUGAUUGGAGGAUCCCGCUGAGACACAUUGACCGGAGCGUCAUACCGAGUUAUAGCCUCGAGUGGCUUAUGUGUUGUAUGCGGCCUUUUGGGGAACUCACUAAGAAUUUAUGCUUACCGUGUUAUGUGAUAUGUGUUUCAGGUACUAGCGAGGAUCGCGGGAAGGCGUCGGCAUGAUCUGUACUCACUGAUAGAGUAUUAUGUAUUAUGUAUUUGAGAUUCUAGGAUAUGUUUUAUUGAGAUAACAUUUGAUACAUUUGAGUUUUGAGACUACUUAUGUGAUAUUUUAUGUUUAAAAAUGAAAAAUUGUUUUGAAAAUUCACGUCGUUACAGUAAAACCCAUAUAUGGACAUGAGUUUACGGCCAAGGAGGUGUUUACGGCCGUAAACUCUAGUUUACGCUUGUAAAGUCCUUAUGAAUGGAGUUUCCGGUAUGUAUGAUGCACACUGCACUCUAGAAUACACUUCCUAACAUUCCUUCUUGAAGGUUCUAUAGUUAUAACACUCAAACAGACCCUAAACAGUGCUAAAAGAUAACAGAAACGAGUAUGACUUUGAUUGAAUUGAAUGGUUGCACAAGAUAGAAAUUUUGGGUUGUCACAUCAUCCCCCCGCUAGAGAAAAUUUUGUCCCGAAAUUAGUGUUUAAGCAAUUACAAUUAAUUAAGCGAAAAGAUGAGGAUAUUUCAGUUUCAUUUGAUCCUCGUGCUCCCAAGUGAAUUCAUGUCCUCGCUUGGCAUUCUAAUGAACCUUCACUAUCGGGAUACAGAUUUGCUUCAUUUGCUUGACCUCUCGGUCCAUGAUCUCUACUGGUUCUUCCACGAAGUUGAGGCUCUCGUUGAUCUCGUCGAGUGGGAUUACAAGAGUCUCAUUAGAUAGACACUUUUUCAAGUUCGAGACGUGGAAAGUAGAAUGUAGGCUACUGAGUUCGUGAGGUAGUUUGAGUUUGUAAGCUACAGGGCCGAUUCUAGUGGUAAUCUUGAAAGGCCCUGCGUAUCUUGGAUUUAGCUUUCCACGCUUUCCGAAGCGUAUCAAGCCCUUCCAAGGUGAGACCUUCAAUAGAACACGGUUGCCAACCUGGAAUUCCAAAGGUUUCCUUCUCUUGUCUGCAUAGCUUUUCUGUCGGUCUCUAGAGGCUUUCAAUCGUUCACGGAUUUGAACGAUCUUCUCUGUCGUUUCCCGAAUGAUUUCCGGACCUGUGAGAGUGUUGUCAGGAACGCGUCCUUUAGCUAACUGGGUGUCACCCACCUCAGCCCAGCACAGAGGGGAUCUGCACUUUCGGCCAUAGAGGGAUUCAAAUGGAGCAGGAUUUAUGCUCGUGUGAUAACUAUUAUUGUAGGAGAACUCGACAAGGGGUAGAUGAAUAUCCCAUGUCUUUCCAAAGCCAAUCACACAGACUUGCAACAUAUCUUCCAAAGUUUGAAUAGUCCUAUCACUUUGCCCGUCGGUUUGCGGAUGGUAGGCUGUACUCAUGUUCAUCCUAGUUCAUAGGGAAGUUUGUAGCGACUGCCAGAACCUUGAAGUGAACCUACUAUCUCUAUCAGAGAUAAUGGAUAUGGGAACACCAUGCAGUCAUACGAUCUCCCUAAUGUAGGUUCUAGUGAGUUUCUCUAUCUUGUCCGUUUCUUUGAUAGGCAGGAAGUGUGCGGACUUGGUUAACCUGUCUACGAUCACCCAUAUGGUAUUGAGACCACCCGUUGUCUUGGGCAACUUGGUUAUGAAGUCCAUCGUGAUCCGCUCCCACUUCCAUUCUGGUAUCUCCGGUUGAUGAAGUAAACCUGAUGGUUUUUGGUAUUCGACCUUAACCUUGGUGCAAGUAAGGCAUUUACUCACGAAGAUAGCAAUCUUUGCUUUCAUGUUAGGCCACCAGUAUAGCUUUUUAAGAACCAGAUACAUCUUAUCUAAACCUAGGUGGACGGAAUAUCGAGUAUUGUGUGCUUCUGCCAUGACCAAGUCUUUGAAGCCACCGUGUUUUGGUGUCCAAAUCCGAUCCAUGAGAUAUAAGGCUCUGCCAUCCUUGACUUCCAAGUUCUUAUCCAUCCCCCUCAUGGAUUCACCCGCCACAUUUUCAGGUUUUAAGGCUUCGAGCCGAGCCUCCUUAAUUUAUGAGGAUAGAUGUGAAUGGAUAGACAUAGGUAAUGAUUUGACUCUACGAACAGAGUAUUCUUUCCGACUUAGGGCGUCAGCUACUACGUUGUCUUUACCGGGAUGAUAACGAAUUUCGCAUUCAUAGUCAUUGAGUAGCUCGACCCACCGUUGUUGUCUCAUAUUGAGCUCCUUCUAGUCGAAUAUAUGUUAAAGGCUUUUGUGGUCUGUAAAGAUAGUGUUUUUUGUACCAUACAGGUAGUGUCUCCAGAUCUUCAGAGAAAACACAACUGCUCCUAACUCAAGAUCAUGUGUGGUGUAGUUGACCUCGUGUGUCUUUAGCUGUCUUGAGGCAUAGGCGAUGACCUUACCUCGUUGCAUGAGAACACAACCGAGUCCUUGGUUGGAUGCAUCGCAAUAAACCACGAAGUCUUCUAUCCCUUAUAGGAGGGAUAGUAUUGGUACGGUGCAUAAGGCUCGUUUUAGCGUUUGGAACACCUUCUCUUGUUUCUCUUCCCAGUCAAAGGCCACGCCUUUCUGGGUCAAUUUCGUAAGCGGUUUCGCGAUCCUAGGGAAGUUAUGAAUGAAUCUACGAUAGUAGCUAGCGAGGCCUAGAAAUUGGCGAAUUUCUGUAGGCGUCUUCGGUGCUGAACAGUUCUCAAUGGCCUUUAUUUUGGAAGGGUCUACAUGAAUUCCCUCUUCACUAACAACGUGACCCAGGAAUUCGACUCUUCGAAUCCAAAAUUCGCAUUUAGUGAACUUCGCAUAGAGCUUCUUUGAUCGUAAUGUUUCCAAGAUCUAACAUAGAUGAUUACUAUGCUCCUCCUUACUACGAGAGUAGAUAAGUAUGUCAUCAAUGAACACAAUGACGAACUAAUCCAACUAAGGACGGCAUACCCUAUUCAUUAAGUCCAUGAAUACUGUGAUCGCAUUAGUCAAUCCGAAUGGCAUCACUACAAACUCAUAGUGUCCAUAACGAGUUCGGAAGGCUAUCUUCGAAACAUCCUCCUCAAGCACUCGUAACUGGUGAUACCCGGAUCUCAGAUCUAUCUUUGAAAAGUAAUUCGCCCCUUGUGGUUGGUUGAACAAAUCAUUUAUGCGAGGCAGAGGGUAACGAUUCUUAACGGUUACCUGGUUUAGUUCUCUCUAGUCGAUGCACAUACGAAACGAUCCGUCCUUCUUCACGAACAAGACCGGUGCUCCCCAGGGUGAGAAGCUUGGUCUAAUAAAGCCCUUGCUGAGCAGCUCGUUAAGUUGACCGGAUAGUUCCUGCAUCUCAGCUGGUGCUUGACGAUAGGGAGAUUUAGCUACGGGGGUAGCCCUUGGAACUAAGUCGAUUUGGAACUUGACUUGAUGUUGUGGAGGUAAUCCUGGUAGUUCCUCUGGAAAGAUGUUGGGAAAAUCACGUACCAAUGGGAUGUUCUUUAUGUCCUUCGUCUCUUGGCUCACAUCGACAACAUGAGCUGGGAAUGAGCAACAUUCCUUUCGCAAGUACUUUUGGGCUUGAAUACUCGAAAUGAUGCGAAGGUUCGUGUCGGGUUUGUCACCAUAGACAACUAGAGUUUCGCUAGACGGCAGAUUAAGGCGAACGACCUUUUCAUAACACAUGAUGUCAGCACGAUGAAGACUCAGCCAAUCCAUGUCGAUAAUGACAUGAAAACUUUUAACUGAGACCGGCAUGAGUUCGAUUGAAAAUGAAUGCCUAUCUAGAGUUAGAGUACAUCCUAUGCAAGUACUGCUAGUGCUCUCAGUCUUUCCGUUAGCCAUUUCUACAAUGAACGGUUCUUUAAGUGCACGUGAUUUUUGCUUAAGUAAGUGAGCAAAUUUUUGGUUCACGAAACUCCUCUCUGCUCCACUAUCAAACAAUAUGCAUGUAUAUGAGUUAUCGAGGAUAAAUGUACCAGUGACCACUGUGGGGUCGGCAAUCGCUUCCUCGUGGCCUAUAGCCAAAACUCUUCCCACUCUGCCAGCAUUCCGUGGCUUCGGGCAGUUCCUCUUGUAGUGACCCACCUCACCACAUCCAUAGCAAGCCUGACCCACACCAAUGUUUAGGACUUGGUUGAUUAGCCUUGCCGUAGCCUUGCAGAAACGGGUAGUGUGCCCUUUCCUGUUGCAGUUAGCGCACUGCAUUUCCCGGUAGGGUCCAUUGUGGUGGAAGAUGCACUUGUUGAACUUGGGCAAGCUUCCAGCAUACUGCUUCAUUAGCGUAGUAUCAGUAGGUGCUAUCGCAUCAUGAACGACCACGACCUGCUGCUUUUUGGCAGACCUUUGCGUCGCGUUCUUCUUCUUAUUAUCCCAGAACUUCUGCUUGUUGUCAGCGGCUUUGGAGAGUUCUAGGAUGGCCAGGGUUAUUUUUGUAGUUAGGGUGCAGACUCCAUGAUCAAUGAGCCAUUGUGCCAAUCGCUUGGCACUAUCAAAGGUAGUAGGGUUUGAAGCUAAUACAUUCCUCUGAAAUGGAGGCACCAGCUCCCAGAUAUACCUCUUUAUCUUCUUUCCUUCAGUAGGGACCAUUCCCGGACAUAGUGCCACCAGAUCGCUGAAUCUGGUAGUAUAGGCCACUAUGUCGGAGCCCUUCAUGGUCAGGCUCUAAAGUUCUUGUUCAAGUUUCUGAACUUCGCCCCCUGGGCAGUAUUCCUCGAUCAUGAGCUCCAUAAGAGCUUCCCAGCCCAUAGCAUUAGCCAUUAUUAGAGUUAGUGACUUGACAUGGCUAUUCCACCAUGUUAGGGCUCUGUCCGCAAAGGUGAAAGCAGCAAAUUUAACUUUGCUUCCUUUCGGAUAGGAACAAAUCUCGAAGAACGAUUCCGUUUUCUUGAAUCAUUGCAAGAGGGCAAUAACUCCGCCAGUCCCAUUGAAGGACAUGGGCUUGCAGUUGGUGAAGUCCUUAUAUGAGCACCCCUUAGAGAGCAUUGGAGCAUCACCUUGAGUGGAAUGCACAAACGUUCCACUCCCGCUAGUUCCACUAACAUUGAACUGAUCCAGGGCUGCCGUAAUAGCCGCAUUCACCGCAACUUGGAUUGCUAACGGGUUGUACUAUGGAGGAGGUGGAGGUUACAUAGGAGAUAUCUGAGGAUUGCGCCUUGUCACUCUCCAUGGAGGCAUCGUUCAACUAAAAUUUUGUUGGAUUAGGUGUCUAAGCCCAUAACUAUAAUUGGUAUGUACUUGAAUUGAUAGCAUCACAGUCCUUUUGAGUUGCCCUCAAACCUAGCAACCGGACAAGGAAAUUAUGAAAGGAGAGAUAUUAAUUUAUUAUAAGAUUAAUAAAUUAAUAUAAAUGAUUUAUUAACAUGUUAAAAGAUUAAUAUAUUGAUUAGGAAUCAUUAUGUUUAAUUAAUAGUUAGCCAGAAAUUAAUCAAAAUUAAUUUUGGAGUUAAAAGUAUUAAUUAUAAAGUACAGGGACUAGUUUGCAAUUAUCUAAUAGUUUAGUGGAAGGUUCCAGAUCCUCCUUGGAAGGGGGUGGACGAAAUCUAUAGGGGAAACCAUAAUAAUUUCGUCCACGGGGGCUUGGAUAAGGCCCUUGGGUUUACUUAGGCCCUAAGCAAGGAGCAUUAGGGUUUUUCCCUAAACCCUAAAUCUCUCAGCUAUAUAAGGAGCCUCCUGGUUCACAUUUUGGGCACUCCUUCUUUUGAAGAAACCCUAGGCCAAGAAUUGCAUACUCCUUCCCUCUCUCUCCUUCUAGUUUCCUUUUUGCUAGAUUUUUGGUGUGAUUCCCAUUAGAGGCAUUACAUUUGUGGUGCUAAGCUUCCAAGAAGAUCAAGAUCAAGAUCAAGAGGAUUGUCAAUUGUUUGCUAUAACAAUUGAAAGGUAUGUAAAUCCUAAACACUGGUUUGUUAUUUUCGAAAAUAGCCUCUCUCCUCUAGGGUUCUUGUUUUGCAAAUCAAAGUUAUAUGUUUAAUAGUUAAAACAUAGAUCGAAAGUAGGUUGCAUGUGAACUUAGGAAUUGUGUUUCUAGUUUAUUUGUUUUACCUAAAACCUAUCAGUGGUAUCAAAGACAUUAUUGUUUUAAAUUGAAUUGCUAUAAUAGUUGAAUUGGAAAUUAGGGUUUAUAGCUAUUAAACCCUAAAAGGCCAAAUUUUCGAUUUCUAGGGUUUUUGGUUCAAAGGUUUUUCGAAAAACCCUAGCCUCCAUGAACCCUAAUCGAAAUUAGGGUUAGGGUUUUGAAAAACUCUAGCCUCCUCCCUUGAAUUUCAAAAUAUGCUUAGUAUUUUUAGGGUUUCUUGUUUUGGAUAAUUGUUACUUGAUUAGAUUAAUUGGAUAAUUAUCCUUUACCCUAAUUUUCGAAAUUUAGAGGGAUAAGGAUUAGGAUUAAAUUAAUUGUUUAAUUUGAUUAGAUAAUCCUUACAAGAUUUAAUAAAUUAAUUAAAAGUUAAUUAAUAGAUAAAUAUUAAAUCUAGUUAUUUGGUUUAUUUUAAAUUUAAAAUUAAUGGCUUAAUUUNAUAUAUAUAUAUGUGUGUGUGUGUGUGUUAUAAUUAAAAGUUAAAUAUUAUGUAUGUAUAAGACUAUGGUCAGUCAAAUCGCUAGUGUGCCUCAUUCACGAAGCUAGUCUAUAAGGGGGGUAUAAGGAAAUUGCCUAUAAAAUGGUAGUUGAAUAGGUUUCCACUCUCACCCACCGCUUCCUUGAUUAGUGGAGGGUCGUUAGCAGAAUGGAUUUGAUAGGACAACUACAUCUCAUUAAAAGUAUAAUGUUAUUAAAGAAAGUACUAGAACAUUAUUUUACAAAAGUCCCAACUCUAGUUACUUUAGGAAAAAUGUGAAAAGUAUGCUAAUCCAUGAAAUUGCACAUUAUGCUUUAUUGGUCGUUGGUGGGGCGUGCGUGGAUAACCGGCACACUAAUAGGAACUAAUAAAGAGUAGUAAUAGGUAUCUUAUAAUUAUCAUUUUGAUGGAGCGUGUGUGGUUUACCGACACAUCAAUAGUUAAUGAUAAAGACAAUAAGGUUACCAAGCACAAUUGCAUGGUUAUUCACAUCUAGUUUGUGAUCCUCGGUAUCAUAGUCACAAAUAAUAGAGCAUAAUCUGAGAGUAAAACAUGCCAUUAAAUAGUUUUAAUGUAUCUCAAAAGAAUUAGGAAUUUCACUUCGUUUAAUUUGUCUAAUGGUGGAAUUAAUGAAUUGUCAUUCACCUACCUUUAUGAGAUUUGAACUUAGAUCUUGGCAUCCCGUUCUAAGUUGUAAAUCGUCGUAGUUGGGUCCUAACCUUGAUAUGAUAUCUUUGGGUUAUUAUAUUGAGGUGUCUUGAAAUCUAACUAAAACUAUCUUUCUUUUCAGAUGUCUACUCCUGGAAACACUUCUGCUUCACUCCUCCAGCCACAACUUCUCUUUACUCAACAUUUGCUCCAAAGUCGUUAUGGAUGGCUCUAACUAUAACGAUUGGAUGCGUAACAUCAAGAUGGUGCUUAGAUUCGAGGACAAAGAGUAUGUCCUUGAAAAGGAGCUCAAAGAACUUGAUGAGUCCAAAGGCACUCCCGAAGAGUAUGCUGCUUACAAGAAGCACUAUGAUGAUGCUACCAAAGUGGCAUGCAUCAUGGUCGCAACCAUGUCCCCAUAAAUGCAAAGUACUAUGAGGACAACUGGCCUUUUGAGAUGAACAAGGACCUUAUGGAAAAGUACCAUAAGCGAGCUCGUCAAGAAAAGUUUGAAGUAGUCAAGUCACUCAUGGCUUGCAAGAUGAAAGAGGGGGAGUCGGUUGUAUCUCAUGUGCAAAGAAUGCAACGCUACAUAGAGCGUUUGGUCAAGCUCAACAUUCAUUUUUAUGAGGAAUUGGUCAUUGACAUGGUCUUGAACUCAUUGCCGUAUUGUUAGGGUUCAGUUUAUCUUAACUUACCAUUUGAACAACAUUGAGCAGACACUGGCCCAAUUGCACAACUUGUUGUAGACUGCUGAAGCAGGGAUGAAGGGUAAAAAUAUAGCCUCCACUCCUGCAAGUGCUCCUGUUCUAUCUAUUGGACAGGGAAAGGGGAACAAGAGGAAAGGUCCUCCUAAGCAAAAAUAGAAGGCAAAGGUCCAAGUCGGGUCAUCUAGAUGUGGCCCGAAAGCUAAGCCCAAUGCUUCCAUUCCCCAUGUUUCUUAUCCAAAGGAAGCUGUUUGCUUUUAUUGCAAUCAAAAGGGGCAUUGGAAGAGAACCUGCCCACAAUAUCUGCAGGAUAUCAAAGAUGGAAAAUUGAAGCCAUCUUCGGCAGGUAUUUACACUAUUUCUUCUAAUAACUCAUUAUCUUCUCGUUCAUGGGUCCUUGAUACAGGAUGUGGUUUUCACAUCUGUUCUGAUUUUCAGGGGCUAAGGGAAAGUGAGGAGAUAGAGCGAGGAAGGAUAAACUUGAUCAUGGGAAACAAGAAGUCUUCACCAGUGACCAAGAUCGGAGUUUAUCAACUUUUGCUUAGUAAUGAUGUUAGAUUAGAUUUAUUGAAUUGUUGCUAUUCGUCUGAGAUGACGAGAAACAUUAUUUCAUUUCAUGCAUUGUUCAGACAAGGUUUUAAAUAUUCUUUUAAUGAUUUGAAUGGUUCAAUUUCGGUUUAUAAGAAUGGUGUUUUCGUGUUUGAAGCUUUACCUUGUGAUGGUGUGUAUGAAACAGUGACUUGUGUUGAUAGCUUAGGAAAUAGUGUGUUUAAUAUUGACUUGUCUAAUAGUGUAGACAAGGCAUGCUUGUGGCAUUGUCGUUUUGGACACAUUAACAAGAAACGCAUAGUCCAACUCCAAAAGGAUGGAGUCUUGGAAUCAUUUGACCUAAAAUCAUUUGAUCUGUGUGAAUCUUGUCUUUUGGGGAAGAUGACAAAAUCACCAUUCACAGGGUCUUGUGAAAAAGGUGAAGGUCUGUUGGAUCUCAUACACACAGAUGUGUGUGGGCCCUUCAGAUCAACCACAAGGGAUGCUAAUCGAUUCUAUGUGACUUUCACUGACGAUUAUAGCAGAUAUGGUUACAUCUACUUGAUCAAACAUAAGUCAGAAACCUUUGAAAAGUUCAAAGAGUUUAAGCAUGAAGUCGAAAAUCAAUUGGGCAGAAAGAUCAAGAUACUUAGAUCCGAUAGAGGCGGGGAGUAUCUUAGUACCGAGUUCAACGACUAUCUGAAAGAAUGUGGGAUAGUCUCACAAUUGACUCCUCCUAGGACACCACAGUUAAAUGGUGUAGCUGAGAGGCGUAAUCGAACCUUGUUAGACAUGGUUCGUUCUAUGAUGAGUCGUGCCUCGCUUCCUAUUCACUUCUGGGGGUAUGCCUUAGAGACAGCCGCCCACAUCCUCAAUCUUGUCCCUACAAAGAAGGUUGCCAAAACACCUCACGAAAUGUGGACAGGGAAAGUUCCCUCGUUAGCACAUAUUAAAGUCUGGGGUUGUGAAGCUUUCGUAAGACGAGAGACUCACGACAAGCUAGCAGCUAGAAGUGAGAAAUGUGUUUUCAUUGGUUACCCAAAGCAGUCUUUUGGAUAUUUGUUCUACAGACCUAGUGAAAACGUGGUGUUUGUAGCUCGAAGAGGAGUCUUUCUGGAAAGAGAGCUCAUAUUCAAAGAGGACAGUGGGAGUACCAUUGACCUUGAAGAGAUUCAAGAGUCAACCAAUGAAGGAACCUUAUAUGACACUAGCACUCAACCAGAGGAAACAGUUCCUGUUGAACCGGUUGAUAAAUCAUUACCUCUUCGAAGAUCCACUAGGGUGAGUGUGCCACCUGAGUUGUAUGGUUUUCAUAUUACUUCAGAUGGUGACACAUUCAUAAGUGACAGAACAUUGGUAAACUUAGAUGAACCAGUCACUUAUAAGGAAGCAAUGGCAGGCCCAGAGGCUUCCAAGUGGAAAGAGGCAAUGGACAGCGAGAUUAAGUCCAUGUAUGACAACCAAGUUUGGAAUUUGGUUGAUAAUGCACCAGGUCGUAAGACAGUUGGGUGCAAAUGGAUCUUCAAGAAGAAGACAGACAUGGAUGGGACUAUACACACAUUCAAGGCAAGACUGGUUGCGAAAGGUUUCACACAAACCCCAGGGGUUGACUAUGAUGAAACAUUCUCGCCAGUAGCCAAGAUUAAAUCUAUCAGGAUAUUGCUCACCAUAGCUGCCUUUCAUGACUAUGAAAUCUGGCAGAUGGAUGUCAAGACUGCUUUCCUUAAUGGGAAGCUGGUUGAGGAUGUUUACAUGAAUCAUCCAGAGGGUUUUCUCGAUGCAAUGUUUCCCAAUAGAGUAUGUAAGCUUGAGAAAUCAAUUUAUGGAUUGAAACAAGCAUCUCGCAGCUGGAAUCUUUGCUUCCAUGAGAAAGUCAAAGAGUUUGGUUUCUCUAGGAGUGAAGAUGAGUUUUGUGUGUAUAUCAAGGCUAGUGGGAGUAUAGUGACUUUUCUGGUGUUAUAUGUCGAUGACAUAUUACUCAUUAGUAACAACAUUCCAACCUUGAACGAAGUUAAAUCUUGGCUUGGAAAGUGUUUUUCCAUGAAAGACCUUGGAGAAGUGGCCUAUAUUCUUGGGAUUAGGAUAUUGAGAGAUAGAAAGAAGAGACUAAUUGGACUUAGUCAGAGCACAUACUUGGAUAAGGUACUAAAGAGGUCUAGUAUGGAAAAUUCCAAGAAGGGAGAGCUACCUAUCCAGAGCAACACAAAAUUGAGUAAGACUCAAUGCCCUAGUACAGACGAGGAAAUAGUUGAUAUGAGUCGUGUACCUUAUGCUUCCGCUGUCGAAUCGAUCAUGUACGCUAUGACAUGUACUCGCCCUGAUGUAGCAUUUGCUUUGAGCAUGGUCAGUCGCUAUCAGGGAAACCCGGGUAGAGAUCAUUGGAUAGCAGUAAAGAAUAUACUCAAGUAUUUGUGGAGGACAAAGGACUGGGUCCUUGUACUUGGUGGCAAUGAUACUUUGAGAGUAGAUAGUUACAGUGAUGCCAACUUUCAAACGGAUAGAGAUAACUUCCGUUCUCAAUCUGGCUGGGUAUUUCUACUGAAUGGAGGAGCAUUUACUUGCAAAAGUUCCAAGCAAGAUACGGUGGUUGAUUCUACUUGUGAGUCAGAGUACAUAGCAGCGAGUGAAGCAUCUAAAGAAGCAGCUUGGUUAAGGAACUUCAUCGGGGAUCUCGGAGUUGUUCCAACCAUCCAGGAGCCUAUGGAACUGUUCUGCGACAAUGAGGGAGCGGUUGCCUUAACUAAGGAACCCAGAGACCAUGGUAAAACCAGAAAUGUCGACAGAAAGUACCAUUUCAUCAGGCAUAGAGUAGAAGAAGGCCAUCUUGUUGUAAAGAGGGUAUCAUCUGAAGAUAACCCAGCAGACCCCCUCACAAAGGGUCUGAGUAGGGCUAAGCAUAUUCAGCAUGCUCGGAGCAUAGGGCUGAAAGAUGAUAUUAGUUUUAGUAGUUAGAUUAGUUUUCUGAAACUUGUAACAAAGUAAAUGUAAUUGACUUUUGGUGAUUAAAUAAUAAAGUAUUAUUUAUAAGUUUAGGUUCUACCUUUUGUCAAUUGUUUAUUAUUGUGUUUCAUUUUUGCAUGUUUUACUUCCCGAAUAAUAAGAUUAUUCAAACUCCACAGUCGCUCGUACUUUUGGAAGUAAGUAGUGAAUCAAGACUGUCAUGAAUUGGAUUGCAGAUUGUCUAAGGAUAGACAUGGCAAUAGAAUUGUUGCAAUGUUCACGAGUACUCAGAGAGUGAGAUUUGAGUAUUGGAUAAACCCACGCUCAGAGUAUUACUUCAUGGAAUUCAUCACGAGUAAUACUGAGACGAUAAUAUCUAUGAUCUUGAAACAGAGAUAUAUGAGUUAUAAUUUGCAAUUCGGUUAUACAUUGGUGAUACAAAAACACGUCGGUAACUUGGUGUUAUAAAACAUAUUGUCAUGUAUGGUUUGAUGAGUAAAAGAUACAAGCAUAUGAGUCAAUGUUUAUAUGUUCCUUUUUCCCUAACAGGAAAAGCGAUAUAUGUGGGCCCCUCCAUGAUUUGGUGUUGAUUUUUGUGUUGGGCCCAGCCAGGACUAAAUUGAUGUGUUCGAUUAAAAGUCCUAUAUCAUCACAAAUCAGAAAUCGGGAAACAUAGAUUCUGGACAAAGAGAUUUAUGGUAUUCCAUGUCUUAUGUCUAGAGAUAUCUAGUAGAACGAAGGGUCAUGUGAUCACUUAUCUUAAGACACGUAACUGACUGGGUCAGAGUUCGACAACAACUUUUGGAAGCUACAAUUUGCUGGUUAAAUUUAGAAGUCAUACUAGCAAUUAUAGUUACAAAUUUAUCGAAGUACGAGACUAUUGAAUUAGGUGUAUAAGCCCAUAACUAUAAUUGGUAUGUACUUGAAUUGAUAGCAGCACAGUCCUUUUGGGUUGCCCUCAAACCUAGCAACCGGACAAGGAAAUUAUGAAAGGAGAGAUAUUAAUUUGUUUAAGAUUAAUAAAUUAAUAUAAAUGAUUUAUUAAUAUGUUAAAAGAUUAAUAUAUUGAUUAGGAAUCAUUAUGUUUAAUUAAUAAUUAGCCAGAAAUUAAUCAAAAUUAAUUUUGGGGUUAAAAGUAUUAAUUAUAAAGUGCAGGGACUAAUUUGAAAUUAUCUAAUAGUUGAGUGGAACGCUCCAGAACCUCCUUGGAAGGGGGUGGACGAAAUCUAUAGGGGAAACCCUAAUAAUUUCGUCCAUGGGGGCUUGGAUAAGGCCCUUGGGUUUACUUAGGCCCUAAGCAAGGAGCAUUAGGGUUUUUCCCUAAACCCUAGAUCCCUCAGCUAUAUAAGGAGCCUUCUGGUUCAAAUUUUGGGCACUCCUUCUUUUGAAGAAACCCUAGGCCGAGAAUUGCAUACUCCCUCCUUCUCUCUCCUUCUAGUUUCCUUCUUGCUAGUUCUUGGGUGUGAUUCCAUUAGAGGCAUUACAUUUGUGGUGCUAAGCUUCCAAGAAGAUCAAGAUCAAGAUCAAGAGGAUUGUCAAUUGUUUGCUAUAACAAUUGAAAGGUAUGUAACUCCUAAACCCUAGUUUGUUAUUUUUGAAAAUAGGCUCUCUCCUCUAGGGUUCUUGUUUUGCAAAUCAAAGUUAUAUGUUCAAUAGUUAAAACAUAGAUCCAAAGUAGGUUGCAUGUGAACUUAGGACUUGUUUUUCUAGUUUAUUUGUUUUACCUAAAACCCAUCAAAGUUUACAAAGAUGAAGAUGAUAGUAAGAAUCAGUUGCAAGUAUAAUGAGAGUGGUUCAUGGACUAACUCUCCAUAGUCCAACAAAACAAAUGAGAGUGUGAUUGAUAUAAAGAUCUAGCAAUAGAAACUUGAAAGUACUUGGAUAUGGAUUUCCCAAAAGAUUUGAUGGUUGUUAAUAAUAUUGGCAUUAAUGAUGUAACAAGUUCGGGAAAAUGACCUAGAAGUAGUUCUUACAUCAAACCACAAUAAGAAAAUUUUGACAACAUAGAGAUCUAGCAACAAUACUAGAUAGAUAGGAAUAUUUACAGGGAAAAGUGCUACAUAGAGCAUAGAUACGAAGGCUAUUUCUGAACCCAAAAGAAAGGACGAGUAAAGCAUUUUUUACUAACGACGGGUACCCCUCGGGCAAACCCUCAAGUCAGCUAACUGACUCUCCACAUCAAGGAGGUGUCGCUCAUAAACCCUUUGGCGUACCCAGAGCUCUAUGACUUCAGCCCGAGUGGCAGCCAAUUCUUGUUGUAGAGCCUCAUUGUCUUUCUCACCUCUCUCAUGAGCAUCUUCUAGACGGAGAAUGCAGACUGUACUAAUUCCUGCAUGGGAAUCAGCCUCCAUGAUUCGGUGGAUGGUUGUUCUACCCUGCUCUUCAUUACGAGCAACCCUACGGACCAGAAUGGGCAGGAAUCUGUCUGUUGAGCCUCCCUCGCUCAGGUUGUAGAAGCUUUGAUCUCCAUUGUAUGGCAUUGGCUGACCCUGCUCCUGAAUCCAUGCACCCAAGUAUUCUGCCCACAGAGGCGUCGGGCCUUGAAAAGCCAGACGACGGUUAGGAUUUGGGAUUGGAGCCACCAGAGGCAAAUCAUUGAGUUCUGUCUCGGAGUCAGAAUCCUCCGGAAAGUUCUCUACGAAGUCAUCAUCCAAAGGGAUUGGAUGAUUCUCUUCUGGCUCGUCAUCAAACCAUCCUUCAUUGCCAUGGUUGGGGAAGUACGGGUCGCGAGGGAGAUUGAAUCCGUCCAUGUUAUCUACGCGAGAAUAAGGGUAAAAGAAAUAAUUAAUAGAUACACUAAUUAAGAUAAUUAUAAGAUGAUCCUUACCAGUUACUUCAAUAUUGCCAUAGUGCAUACCAGUCAUAUGUAACCAAAACGGAAUAGACCUUCGAAUAAGUGACCCUAACUCGAAAUCCACAACCAAACAAGGAACCAGAAAUAAAGCAAAGAUCACAUAUUCUAAGUCUAUGACACCUAAGUCACAUAUAACCUUAUCGUAUCCACCUAGCAACUAUUGACCUACUAAUAAAUACCUUUAGUUCUCAAAUAAGUAAUUAUAUUAACACAAAAUACUCCUAUAGUAUUUUAAGUUUAUGUUAUGUUCUAAUGUUUUCAUUGUAGUGUGUAUCUAUCCCAUCUAUGACUAUCAUUACCAAAAUAUAGCUUACAUUACCGUUUACGUGAGAAGAUCACAAUGUGAAUGCAAUAGGAAUAUAACGAUGUACUGUGGUAUUGUAUAUAACUAACUACUAAUGUACUAAAUUGUCACACCCCAAAAACCGAAGGCGGAAACAUUUCCGGGGUUGACUCCAUGUUGAGUAUCAAAUCCAAUGCACAUAGUAAGUAAAGUAGAACAACCAUUACAUUACAUAUAGAAAAGUUUUACAAGUGUUUCAAAAGUAAAGUUGUACAGUUGUGAUACAUAGUAUAUAUAUGAACAAAAUGAAACGGGUCUUCUGAGUACUCCGUCUUCGAGCAAAAAGGAUCUUCGGUACCUGUUCUAACGUUGACCUGAGAACACAAGCGGUUUGAAAAUCAGCAUAACGCUGGUGAGUUCAUAAGUGGUUUUUGAUUUUUGAAAAUAUCCAUGUUUCCUUUCUGUUUCUGAAAAUGUUAUGUACGCCAAGAAAAUCCCAUAUUUUCUUAAAAUAGUUGGUUAUUGUUACACGAUAUGUAAAGUAAAGUUGUACACUGAAAACAUGUUUACUCUUGUGAAAGUUGUACAUUUAGGUUAUCUGUUUGGCUAUAAUGUUCUGGUUAUGUACCAAUGGAUCCCCAGGAAAGUCCCAUACUUUCCUGAUUGUAUAUUACCAAUUGUAAAAGAUGUAAGGUUAUCCAGUUUGCUACACUUUUCUAGUUAUAUAAAUGUUUCCCCAGGAAAGCCCCAUGCUUUCCUGAAUGUUGGUUACCAUUUAUAAAAGAUGUAAAAGAUGUAUUCUAGUUAGACCUGGUUAUGUACAAAGUUUCCCAGGAAAGUCCCAUACUUUCCUGUAUGUUGGUUUCCGUAUGUAAAAGAUGUAAAAGAUGUAUUUCGAAACCUGGUUAUCUUGUGAAGUGUAUAAAGUUGUUCAUUAUUACUAUAAGUAAAUCUCUGUUAUCCUAAUUGCGAGUUCCAUAACCAUAUGAUGGACUUAACCUGUGGAAAUAAGUAGUCCACAUCCUUAUGACUUUCGUCACCCUUGAACCAUUUCGGUUCGGUUGUAGCUAGCAGCCAGGUGUGGGGUAGUCAUCCCCGUAUAGAUCUAUACACUCAAGUUACGCUCUCUAAAUCCCAAAGAUUCUGGUUACGCGUGUAGUCCUCCACUCGCGUAUCUCUGUGGAGUGUUCACCGAGGACGUGUCUCCAAUCAUACAGGAAUAACAAAUUUACUAGUAAUAAUAUGAUAACCCUCCAUUCGCGUAUCUAUGUGGAAUGUUACCGAGGACAAGACAGUGUACAAGUUUUAUGUUCAUAUGUUCUAAUGUCAUGCUUUUAACUGAUAAAAUGUGGGAAAACAUUUGUGAAAAAUAUAAAACAUAACAGUUUAUAAACCAUUUCACAAAUAAUAUGUUUACGUGAGCUGCAUGUUCAAACGGUUAUCAGUUGUACCAAUCAGUGUUAAAAGCAUAUAAUAUGUAAAACACACAUAUGAAAACAAGUUUUGAGUACAAGUAAUCCCUUGUACUUUGCUUUUGUUCCCCCUGAAAACAAUGAAAACAGUGAAAAAGGGUAGGGGUAUGAACUCACCAGACUCGGGAAUUCGACGGUUUCGGACACUAGAUGUUGGUUCGGGGCUUGAUUACUCACGAUGUCCCUACGUAAAAUGUAAUAAUGUCCAUAUAUAAUACUAAUUAGAUUUACUAUCACUAAUCUUAUGGAACAUUACACUCCAACGAGGUUAAACACCUCAAAACGGGCUUUUGGAGUGACCUGGGUGACAUCUACGGACGUGUAUUGGCACUAGGGACUUAUGAUUUGAGUUUACUCCCCAAGAGUAAACAUUUUAUGGAGUUUACGACCACAUAACACACACAUACAUGAGUUUACGGCCGUAAACUCAUGUUGGUGUGAUUUUGAGGGUUUAAUGGCUUGAAUGGACAUGGGGAUUGCUGGAAUGGACUUCUAAAAUGCUUUGGAUUAAUUUGUUUGGAUUUAUACCAUUUAAAAGGGAGUUCACGGCUAUAAACUUGGAGUUUACAGCCAUAAACUCUCUUAUGGUCAAGAGAAAUUGAUUUGAGGCAUUUAGAGUAAUCACAUGUGAUUCUAGUAAUUUUUCCAAGCUUUAAGAUGGUUUAAAGGCAUCAAAUGACAUAUAAUUUGGAGUUUACGGCCUUGGAGUAUGUUCUAUGGCCAUAAACUCUUAUAUGUGAUGUUUUGAUGUGUUUAAGGUCUCCAAACUAUUUUUAGGUGGUUCUAGGAUUUACCACAAGGCUAUUGGUUAAGUUUCAAGGCAUUCUAACAUGUAAAAAUGAGUUUAUCCCCCAUGUUUGAGGAGUUUACGGCCCAAGCACAUGCAUUGGCUGUAAACUCACUUUUGUCCCUCAAAAUGCAAGUUUAGGGUGUUCCAAGUCCAAGUUUGAAAGCCUCAAAGUCGUAUCUAAGUCCCAAAAAUGAUUUGGAAGGGUUAAAUGGCUCAAAAACCCCAUUAUUGUGUGUUUACGGCCCAAGCUUCAUCCUUGGCCAUAAACACAUGUUCCAGGUCCUACAUUUCAGUUUGAACUCGGAUUUGAAGGCCUAAGAGCUUGAAUAACAAGCUAGGAAGGUUACCUCUAUGAUUUGGAGCCUUAAAUCUUUGAUUUUGGACCUUAAUUUAGAGUGAGGAGAGAGGUUAGAGAGAGAGUAGUGAGAUGGAGCCAAAAGCUUCAAAUGAAGGCUUAGAACACAUUAUAUAGUGUCUAAGUUUUGGACAUGGCGGAAUUCUACCCGAUACCGGCGUUAGGUGGGGCUUUUGGUCGCACCCGACCAAGUUGCCGUAACCCGAUAUGUUCGAUUCUAGAAUUAUUCUGAUAACUAAUAUGGGGUGUUAGAAUGAUUUCUAAUGGCAUUAAGACACCCAUUAAGUCACUUUAGGUCGAUAUAUGUUAAUGACUUAAUUUAACGACGAAAUCGGAAACGGAUUUGGAAAAAGUGUUUGGUUGAUCGAAUUGGAUUACAAUUUGAGUUACAAGAAGUGAUAUGAAAUUUCGGGUUGUUACAUUAUUCCCCCGUUAGAGGGAAUUUCGUCCCGAAAUUCAAGACAAGAUUCAAGACAAAAAUACAAAUCACGGAUCUAGAAAGAGUUGCGGAUACUUCUGUUUCAUCGAGUCUUCCCGCUCCCAAGUGAACUCCGCUCCCCGCUUGGCAUUCCAGCGAACCUUCACUAACAGGAUUUGACUUUGUUUCGUACGUUUGACUUCUCGAUCCAUGAUUUUGAUCGGUUCCUCCACGAAGUUGAGGUUUUCAUCGAUCUCGAUCUCGUCUAAAGGAAUCACUAGGGUUUCAUCGGAUAGGCACUUCUUGAGAUUUGAAACAUGGAAUACGGGAUGGAUGUUACUGAGUUCGCGAGGUAAAUGAAGUUUAUAGGCUACCGGACCGACCCUGGCGAGGAUCUCGAAAGGUCCAAUGUACCUCGGAUUAAGUUUCCCACGCUUACCAAAGCGUACAGUGCCUUUCCAGGGCGAGACCUUCAACAGGACAUGAUCUCCAACCUGGAAUUCCAGUGGUUUCUGACGGUUAUCAGCGUAACUCUUCUGGCGAUCACGUGAAGCUUUCAAUCGUUCUCGGAUUUUGAUGAUCUUCUCGGUGGUUUCACAGAUGAUUUCAGGACCAGUGAGAGCACUGUCCGGGACUCGACUCUUGGCUAACUGGGUAUCCCCCACCUCGGCCCAACACAGAUGGGAUCUGCACUUGCGACCGUAUAGGGCUUCAAACGGGGCAGCCCUAAUGCUGGUGUGGUAACUGUUGUUGUACGAGAAUUCGAUCAAAGGUAGAUGUGUGUCCCACGACUUUCCAAAGUCAAUGACACAUGCUCUAAGCAUGGCCUCUAGGGUUUGGAUUGUUCUCUCACUUUGUCCAUCGGUCUGAGGAUGAUACGUCGUGCUCAUAUCUAGUUUGGUUCCAAGAGCUUUCUGAAGAGACUGCCAAAAUCGGGAGGUAAACCUGCUAUCUCGAUCAGAGAUAAUGGAAGCAGGUACACCGUGCAGUCGGACUACCUCUUGGAUGUAGAAUCGCAUGAGUCUUUCCAUCUUGUAUGAUUCUUUGAUCGGAACGAAGUGAGCGGACUUUGUCAAACGAUCGACCAUCACCCAAAUGGUAUCGUACCCACUCGAACACUUGGGUAGUUUGGUGAUGAAAUCCAUGGUGAUCAUCUCCCAUUUCCAUUCGGGUAUGUCAGGUUGCUGGAGCAGACCCGAGGGCUUUUGGUGCUCAAUUUUUACGUUGGCGCAAGUCAGACACCUACCCAUGAAUGUAGCUAUCUCAGCCUUCAUGUUUGGCCACCAGUAUUGUUUCUUGAGAUCUAAGUACAUCUUGUCAGAGCCUGGGUGAACAGAGUAUUUGGUUCUGUGUGCUUCCUCCAUGACUAACUCUCUGAAUCCUCCGGACUUGGGAAUCCAGAUCCGAUCCAUGAAACAAUGGACUCCGUCACCUCUGAUCUCAAGUUUCUUUUCCAUUCCUCUCAAGGCUUCGGUCAACAUGUUCUCGGGUUUGAGGGCUUCUAAUUGGGCUUCUCGGAUUUGUAUGGGUAGGUUGGAAUGGAUAAUCAUCGUCUGGUUCUUCACCUUGCGGCCUGCACUCUCCUUUCGGCUAAAGGCAUCUGCUACCACAUUGGCCUUGCCGGGAUGGUAACAGAUUUCACACUCGUAAUCACUGAGUAGUUCUACCCAUCGCCGUUGUCUCAUGUUCAAGUCUUUCUGAUCAAAGAUGUGUUGCAGGCUCUUGUGAUCAGUGAAGAUCGUGCACUUGGUUCCGUAGAGGUAAUGUCUCCAAAUCUUCAACGCAAAGACUACGGCUCCUAGUUCCAAGUCGUGUGUGGUAUAGUUGACCUCAUGUGCUUUCAACUGUCAAGAAGCAUAAGCAAUUACUUUACCCCUUUGCAUAAGCACACAGCCUAAACCUUGAUUAGAUGCAUCGCAGUAGACAACGAAGUCCUCUGUCCCUUCGGGUAGGGACAGGACAGGCGCGCUGCACAAGGCUUUCUUCAGCGUCUAGAAUGCAGUUUCUUGUUUAUCACUCCAAUAAAAGGGUACACCUUUCUAUGUUAGAGUGGUUAGAGGUUUGGUGAUUCUGGAAAAGUUCUGGAUGAAUCUUCGAUAAUAGCCAGCGAGACCCAAGAAUUGUUGGAUUUCUGUGGGUGUCUUCGGUGCUGACCAAUUCUCUAUCGCCUUUAUUUUGGAAGGAUCUACAUGAAUAUCCUCCUCGCUUACCACGUGACCGAGGAAAGUUACCUUCCGAAUCCAGAACUCGCAUUUGGAAAAUUUUGCAUACAACUUCUCACAUCGAAGGGUUUCCAACACUAGUCUCAAGUGUUGUUUGUGGUCUUCUUCGCUUCUGAAGUAGACAAGUAUAUCGUCAAUGAAUAUAAUGACGAACUUGUACAGAUAAGGACGACACACCCAGUUCAUCAGGUCCAUGAACACCGCCGGUGCGUUGGUUAGACCAAAGGGCAUCACUACAAACUCGUAGUGUUAAUAUCGAGUCCUGAAAGCUGUUUUGGAAACAUCACUCUCAUGAACUCGUAGCUGAUGGUACCCUGAUCGAAGGUCUAUCUUGGAGAAAUAACUGGCUCCCUGAAGUUGGUCAAAGAGGUCAUCUAUUUGCGGAAGAGGAUAUCGGUUUUUGACAGUCAACUUGUUCAACUAGCGAUAAUCGAUGCACAUUCGAAAGGAUCCAUCUUUCUUCUAGACAAACAGUAUCGGAGCUCCCCAGGGUGAGGAACUCGGUCUAAUGAAUCCUUUAUUGAGCAACUCAUUGAGUUGACUGGAUAACUCCUGCAUCUCUGCUGGAGCUAAGCGAUAUGGAGACUUUGCUACGGGAGUAGCUCCAGGAAUUAGGUCAAUACGGAAUUCGACCUGACGCUCAGGAGGAAUUCCUGGAAGCUCUUCGGGAAACACAUCAGGAAAGUUACAGACUUCGGGGAUGCUCACGAGGUCUUUAACUUCCUGUUUCUCGUUGAUUACAUGGGCCAAAAAUGCAAUGCACUCCUUUCGCAGAAGCUUCUGAGCUUUGAUGCAGGAAAUGAUACGAAGGUUGGAACUAAGUUUAUCGCCAUAGAUUACGAGAGUUUGACCCGACGGAAGGUUGAGACGGAUGGCUUUUUCGAAACAAAGGAUAUCCGCAUGAUUGGGACUCAAGCAAUCCAUGCCAAUGAUGACAUCAAAUCUCUUUAUGAAUACUGGCAUAAGAUCGAUAGGAAACGUAUGGUCGUUCAGGGUAAGGGUACAACCUACGAAUAACUUCGCUCGCGUUUUCUUUCUCACCGUUCGCCAUCUCGACGGUAAACAUUUCAGUUAAAGGUUGGGAAUUAUGUUUUAGGUUAUGUUUGAAUGUAUGACUAAUAAAGCUUCUCUCAGCACCCGAAUCGAAAAUAAUAUUAGCAUAUGAGUUGUCGAGAAGGAACGUACCCGAGACAACAGUGGGAUCGGCGACCGCUUCCUCCCGUCCCAUGGCGAGGACCCUUCCAGUGCUAUCAGCAGUAGACUUUUUAGGGCAGUUCCUUUUAAAGUGUCCAGCUUCACCACAGUUGUAAUAGGCUUGACCGACGCCUGUUCUAGAAGAUUGAUUGGCCGAUUGAGCUAGAGUCUUGCAAAAUCGGACCGUGUGCCCCUUUUUACCACAAUUGGUACAGGAAAGUUCUCGACAGGGGCUAGGAUUGUGGUGAUACUUGCACUUAUCACAAAGAGGAAGAUUACCAGCAUAACGGCUGGCAGGAGUUGGAGCUGUGGAUCCCGCGAUAGAAGCAGUAGCAACGGGGGUAGUAGCAGCAUGGACUGCUACUAUUUGCUGUCUUUUGGAGGAUCCUUGGGAUGAUUGACCCUUCUUUUUCUUCCAGAAUUUUCUCUUCUCACCACUGCUUUUAGUCGACUCAGGGACGGUGGUGGUUUCCUCGACAUCAUCACUGCGAUCAGUUAUGGCUUGGGCUAAAGUCUUAGCACUAUCAUAUGUGUCCGGGCGAGCAGCUAAGACAUGACCUUUGGUUGGAUUGGUUAGCCCCCAUAUAAACCUCUCGAUCUUUUUGCUUUCAGGAGUGACCAAACCAGGGCAGAGAAGGGCAAGAUCAUGAAUCGGGAAAUGUAUGCAGCAAUGUCGGAACCUUUCAUCUUCAGGUUCCAGAGCUCAUGCUCUAGCUUCUGCAUUUCACCACGGGGACAGUAUUCGGCAAGGAGGAGUUCUUUCAUGGCGUUCCAGCCCAUGGCAUUGGCUACGGGUAGGGUCAAGGAUUUGACUCGGCCAUUCCACCAAGUCAAGGCUUUAUCACUAAAGGUACAGGCUGCAAAUUUGACCUUAUCGGACUCAGCACAGGCACAGAUUUCGAAGAUGGAUUCGAUUUUCUCGAACCAUCGAGAUAGGGAAAUGACACAUCCAGUGCCAUCAAAGGAUGCUGGUUUUGCAUUCAUGAAAUCCUUAUAGGAACCCUCUUUUUGAUUUCCCUGGUUGUUUUCUUGAUCUUGAGUACCACCUCCCGAACCACCAGAACUACCGGUGUUCAAUUGGGAUAUGGCAGCUGCCACCGCGGCGGUAACAACUGUUUGGAAUAACACGGGAUCAAUUUCAGGAGGAGGUGGUGGCGGAGGGUUGUUGGUCUUUGAGCUGGGUCUCUUUCUGGGAGGCAUCUUGAUCUAAUAAGAUCAAGAAAGAGAGGAUGAUAAGUCCUCUGAAUUGAAUCGAGAGAUAUGACAGAUAUUUAUUCCAAAUAAGCGAUAAAGCAGGAAAGAGUUAUCAAAGCAGGUAAACUAUCGCUAAUGGAAUGAUCAAGGAUCUAUACGUGAACGAGGAUUCUUACAAAGGAUUGGCUCGAGAAAUACUCCCAUAGUAUUUCAUGAUUCGUUACUACACUGGCGCGAUGUUUGUGGUAUUAGGGUAAGUUUUAGGCAUGCCGCAUACCACAGUCACUCCCAAGCACAUGUUGGCCGUGUCUCGAAUGAAUAUAGUUGGCCAGGCUAUAUUGAUCCUAGACACGACUACAUAACUGCCCAGGUUUAACCGCAGUACACAACACCCAUUUACUUAUGUUUUGUUCUACUUGUAGUUACGGAUCUCGACGGUUCGGUAUACUUGUAUACUUUUGAAAAUACUUAUAGUUUGAAGAUACUUUUAAUUCAGAGCACUUAGGCCCUUUAGUGUUUAUAGUUUUAUACCAUGUAAGGUUUGGUAUACUUUAUUCACUAUAAACAAGGGCUCUGAUACCAAUCUGUCACACCCCGAAAACCGAAGGCGGAAACAUUUCCGGGGUUGACUCCACGUUGAGUAUCAAAUCCAAUGUACAUAGUAAGUAAAGUAGAACAACCAUUACAUUACAUAUAAAAAAUUUUUACAAUUGUUUCAAAAGUAAAGUUGUACAGUUGUGAUACAUAGUAUAUUUAUAUAAACAAAAUGAAACGGGUCUUCUGAGUACUCCGUCUUCGAGCAAAAAGGAUCUUCGGUACCUGUUCUAACGUUGACCUGAGAACACAAGCGGUUUGAAAAUCAGCAUAACGCUGGUGAGUUCAUAAGUGGUUUUUGUUUUGUGAAAAUAUCCAUGUUUCCUUUCUGUUUCUGAAAAUGUUAUGUACGCCAAGAAAAUCCCAUAUUUUCAUAAAAUAGUUGGUUAUUGUUACACGAUAUGUAAAGUAAAGUUGUACACUGAAAUCAUGUUUACCCUUGUGAAAAUGUACAUUUAGGUUAUCUGUUUUGUUAUUCUGUUCUGGUUAUGUACCAAUGGAUCCCCAGGAAAGUCCCAUACUUUCCUGAUUGUAUAUUACCAAUUGUAAAAGAUGUAAGGUUAUCCAGUUUGCUACACUUUUCUAGUUAUAUAAAUGUCUCCCCAGGAAAGCCCCAUGCUUUCCUGAAUGUUGGUUACCAUUUGUAAAAGAUGUAAAAGAUGUAUUCUAGUAAGACCUGGUUAUGUACAAAGUUUCCCAGGAAUGUCCCAUACUUUCCUGUAUGUUGGUUUCCAUAUGUAAAAGAUGUAAAAGAUGUAUUUCGAAACCUGGUUAUCUUGUGAAGUGUAUAAAGUUGUUCAUUAUUACUAUAAGUAAAUCUUUGUUAUCCUAAUUGCGAGUUCCAUAACCAUACGAUGGACUUAACCUGUGGCCAUAAGUAGUCCACAUCCUUAUGACUUUCGUCACCCUUGAACCAUUUCGGUUCGGCUGUAGCUAGCAGCCAGGUGUGGGGUAGUCAGCCCCGUAUAGAUCUAUACACUCAAGUCACGCUCUCUAAAUCCCAGAGAUUCUGGUUACGCGUGUAGUCCUCCACUCGCGUAUCUCUGUGGAGUGUUCACCGUGGACGUGUCUCCAAUCAUACAGGAAUAACAAAUUUACUAGUAAUAAUAUGAUAAUCCUCCAUUCACGUAUCUAUGUGGAAUGUUACCGAGGACAAGACAGUGUACAACUUUAAUGUUCAUAUGUUCUAAUGUCAUGCUUUUAACUGAUAAAAUGUGGGAAAACAUUUGUGAAAAAUAUAAAACAUAACAGUUUAUAAACCAUUUCACAAAUAAUAUGUUUACGUGAGCUGCAUGUUCAAACGGUUAUCAGUUGUACCAAUCAGUGUUAAAAGCAUAUAAUAUGUAAAACACACAUAUGAAAACAAGUUUUGAGUACAAGUAAUCCCUUGUACUUUGCUUUUGUUCCCCCUGAAAACAAUGAAAUCAGUGAAAAAGGGUAGGGGUAUGAACUCACCAGACUCGGGAAUGCGACGGUUUCGGACACUAGAUGUUGGUUCGGGGCUUGAUUACUCGCGAUGUCCCUAUGUAAAAUGUAAUAAUGUCCAUAUAUAAUACUAAUUAGAUAUAAUAUCACUAAUCUUAUGGAACAUUACACUCCAACGAGGUUAAACACCUCAAAACGGGCUUUUGGAGUGACCCGGGUGACAUCUACGGACGUGUAUUGGCACUAGGGACUUAUGAUUUGAGUUUACUCCCCAAGAGUAAACAUUUUAUGGAGUUUACGACCACAUAACACACACAUACAUGAGUUUACGGCCGUAAACUCAUGUUGGUGUGAUUUUGAGGGUUUAAUGGCUUGAAUGGACAUGGGGAUUACUGGAAUGGACUUCUAAAAUGCUUUGGAUUAAUUUAUUUGGAUUUAUACCAUUUAAAAGGGAGUUCACGGCUGUAAACUUGGAUUUUACGGCUGUAAACUCUCUUAUGGUCAAGAGAAAUUGAUGUGAGGCAUUUAGAGUAAUCACAUGUGAUUCUAGUAAUUUUUCCAAGCUUUAGGAUGGUUUAAAGGCAUCAAAUGACAUAUAAUUUGGAGUUUACGGCCUUGGAGUAUGUUCUAUGGCCAUAAACUCUUAUAUGUGAUGUUUUGAUGUGUUUAAGGUCUCCAAACUAUUUUUAGGUGGUUCUAGGAUUUACCACAAGGCUAUUGGUUAAGUUUCAAGGCAUUCUAACAUGUAAAAAUGAGUUUAUCCCCCAUGUUUGAGGAGUUUACAGCCCAAGCACAUGCAUUGGCUGUAAACUCACUUUUUUCCCUCAAAAUGCAAGUUUAGGGUGUUCCAAGUCCAAGUUUGAAAGCCUCAAAGUCGUAUCUAAGUCCCAAAAAUGAUUUGGAAGGGUUAAAUGGCUCAAAAACCCCAUUAUUGUGUGUUUACGGCCCAAGCUUCAUCCUUGGCCAUAAACACAUGUUCCAGGUCCUACAUUUCAGUUUGAACUCGGAUUUGAAGGCCUAAGAGCUUGAAUAACAAGCUAGGAAGGUUACCUCUAUGAUUUGGAGCCUUAAAUCUUUGAUUUUGGACCUUAAUUUAGAGUGAGGAGAGAGGUUAGAGAGAGAGUAGUGAGAUGGAGCCAAAAGCUUCAAAUGAAGGCUUAGAACACAUUAUAUAGUGUCUAAGUUUUGGACACGGCGGAAUUCUACCCGAUACCGGCGUUAGGCGGGGCUUUUGGUCGCACCCGACCAAGUUGCCGUAACCCGAUAUGUUCGAUUCUAGAAUUAUUCCGAUAACUAAUAUGGGGUGUUAGAAUGAUUUCUAAUGGCAUUAAGACACCCAUUAAGUCACUUUAGUUCGAUAUAUGUUAAUGACUUAAUUUAACGACGAAAUCGGAAACAGAUUUGGAAACGGCGUUUGGUUGAUCGAAUUGGAUUACAAUUUGAGUUACAAGAAGUGAUAUGAAAUUUGGGGUUGUUACAUAAAUACCUUAAACCACUUUGUUAAUUAAGGUAAAAUGUGAUGAGGUUGUAACCAUACUUAAUUGAAUAUUGAAACAUGAUGCUCGGAGGCGUCGAAAUGGUAUGACAUUCAUCACCUGUAGACCUACAGGUCCCACUAUAGCUAGCAGCAAGGUGUAGGACGGUCAUUCCCGUAUAGAUCUAUACACAAAUUCACGCUCUCCCUCCAGGAGACUCUGGUUUCAAAAUGUGACACAGCAGUAGAUUGCCAAGCCAUGAAGUAGUGGCUCACAUUAAUGUUAUAGUAUUCUAGUGUUUAUAUAGUAUGUUCUAGUGUAUUGUAUGCUCUCUCUGUUCUAGUGUAUAGUAUGUUCUCUUUGUAUAGUGUAGUGUAUGUUCUCUUAGUUUCUCAUCAUAGUAUGUUCUUUUUGUUUCUCAUAAUAGUAAGUUUGUAUUGACUCAUGAAUGCACUAACUCUUGUAUGUUUCAUUGUACUAGAAGUAGUGAGUAGUAAAUCCCUAAACUAUACCUAUUAUAGUUUACUAGUAAUGUUGUUUGAAUAACAGAGUAUGUUUAUACACCUUUGCUACCCAAAAGUGUUGAACUGAUGUAAUAACUUUUAUAUCUAUACAUAUGUACAUAAUAUAUAACUAAGAUUCAAAUGACACUUAGACAAUAACCGGAUACCCUAAUUCCACAACCAAACAAGGAAUAGGAAAUAAAUGAGUUAUCAGUAUUAACUCCUUUCAAUCUUACUUAUAUAACUAUAUCUAUAUAGACAUGAUUUUGACAAUAAAAAUAAGUUUAAAAGAGUUUAACAUAUAAAAGAGUUUUCACCAUUUGAAUGGUAACAGAUGACUUGAUGUCAGUUUAUAAAAUGUUUUGAAGAGUUGUUUGAUAAAAUAGUUUGAAGUAUAAGNCCCCCCCCCCCAUAAAAGCAUUUAAAAUCAUUUAAAAGGUAAAUUAAUGGGUAUGAACUCACCUAUAGUGAGUGAUGUGAAUGUAAGAUCGAUUGUAGGAUGCUAACUGCUAAGCGAAAUCUCGGGCACAAGCGGAUCCUAAUAAGCAUAUAAUGACACAUAUAUCUAUAUAAUUAUUGUAUAUAACAACUAAUCAUGAUAGGUAACCACUUUAGGGACUAGGAAACACUUGGAUUGAAGUGUUACAAUCACAUGUGAUUGCACAUAAAGGGGUUUACGGCCACACAUGGUGUUCACGGCCAUGAUGUUUACGGCCCAAUGUGUUUACGACCAUGGGGUUUAUGGCCCUAUGAGAUUAUGGUCGUACACUCAUGAAGAUAUAUGCCAAAUAUUGUUUUAUGGUCCUAUUCAGCAUCAAGGAAGUGUUUCUUGACCCAUUCCUAGCCUUACGAAGAGUUUUUGGCCAAACUAGGAACCUUAACAAGGGUUUACGGCCAAGGGAGAUGCUCAUGGCCAUAAACUCUCAUUGUUCUAAGGAAAAUGGUUGUUUUCAGGGGUGUAUGCUAAGAGCUUCUAUAGUAUAACUAGUAUAUGGAAGAUUACUUACGUUUUCAAGCUUGAAGGGGGGUGUUUAAGCUCCAAGAACUAGUGUGUGUUCUUGGUGUCUUGGUGUUCUUGAAGAUCUAACCCAAAAGAUGAAUUUCAUGGAUGAAAUCAAAGGAUGAUACUAAAUUAAGAAGAAUAAAAUCUAAUAACAUGGAAGGAGUGCUUACUCUUUUGAAGAUCAAGGUGAAAAUCUUGAUGAUAGUUGAGAGAGAAUCUGAAAUCUAGGCUUGGAAGUGUAAGAAAUGACUAGAAAUGAAGGUAAAACUCAUAUAUGGACAUGAGUUUACGGCCAAGGAGGUGUUUACGGUAGUAAACUCUAGUUUACGGUUGUAAACUCCUUACGAAUGGAGUUUCCGGCUUGUAUGAUGCACACUGCACUCUAGAAUACACUUCCUAACAUUCCUUCUUGAAGGUACUAGGCUUAUAACACUCAAACAGACCCUAAACAACGCUAAAAGAUAGCAAAAACGUGUCUGACUUUGAUUGAAUUGAAUGGUUGCACAAGAUAGAAAUUUCGGAUUGUCACAGCAUAGUCGUGACUCACCCAAACUAUAGGGUUUUAACCUGGUAAGCACAACGUACCUCUUCGUACGUCCAACGUACUCCGUCUGGGUCCAUUUCUUCUCAUUAAGUGCUUAAUCCUUAAAGACCUUUCAUUCAAAAUUAGAUUUAGACCCAAAACAUCGUUUUAAGUCAUAAAGUUUCCACCUCUAUGACUUUUCAUGGCUAGACAAGGUCCAAAAUCUAAAACCCUAACUUAAUAAUCCAUUAAGACGUCAUAACUCUUGCAUAGAAGGGAUAGAUGGACCAAGAUCAGAUUUUUGUGGUUACUAACACCUAAAAACGUCUGAAAGGACAACUCUUCUGGUUGGAGCAAUCCAUACUCAUGAACAGCAAGCUUAUGGGAGAAAAAAUGAACAAAACUCAAGGCUAACAAGAUCUAAGAAAAUAGCUCUUCAAGUUUCAAACAUUAUAUCGCCAAAGGAUGCUUGAGGUUGAAAAACUCAUGGAUCCAAGAUGCCUUGAGUUUCCAAGAUGAUUUCCAUUCCUUCUUCUUCCUUCAAGAACAUCAUAAAUGCACACUCAAGCUCAAAAAUGUUCACACAAUGGAUUAGGGUUUGCAGGGGAUGAUUUGGGAGAUGGAGGCUAAUGAGAGAAAAGGUCUUGAGGAGUUAAGGAGGUUUAAAUAGUUCUCAAACCAUAAAAAUUAGGGUUUGCACUUAUGCCACGUAUGCCCUGCAUACCAAAGAGUAUGCCUAGCGUAUGAGAAAAAUCAUGUGUCCCCUAUAAUGGGGCUUUGGGACCAAUUUUGAAAUGAAUUUUACACUAAGAGGGCUUAAAUGGAAAAUAAUUGAACAAUGGGUGUUACACAACCUAUUGAUUCUUAAUUUCAAAUUUCAAAUUUUAAAUUUCUCACUCUAAUUACAUUAAAUUAAUAACAUUAGAAUAAAAAUUAAAAUGAAAUUAAUAUAGAUUAUAAGGUGAUAUAAUUUCACGUAUUUAUUUAAAUCAAAGAUUAUAAUUUUAAAUAACUAAAAAAAUAUUUAUUAAUUAAUAAUUUAUUUAAAAUAAUUGAUUAAUAAUUUUAAGUUUUUACAAUGAAAGUUUAAUUAAUUUUGUAACCAUAGUUCCUACCGGUUAUAAACUAGUACAUGAAUAUAAAAAGGAUGCACCUUAAUACAUAAAUUCUUACCUGAUAUAAAUUAUAAUAGUCUUUCGUAUGUGCUUUAAAAAUUAACAACAAAAAAAAUAGUUUGAAAAAACAAAUACCAUGACAAUGGCAUAUUGUAAUAACAAUGACAUAUAUGAAUAUAAAGUAAGCAAAGAAGUAGAAUUAAAUUCCCAUAAAAUUUUUACAAUCAAAAUUAUUAAAAAUUAUCCCAAAAUAAAACCCUAAAUAAUAUAUUGAUCCAAAAUGGAGAUGUAAAAAUCAAAUAUAAUUUUGAGGGAAACUAGUAAGAACAAAAACAUUCAUUAUAUAUUUUUUAGAACCUAGUAUUGGACGAUGUUCCACCAUCGCUUGCUUCUAUAAGUUAUAGAUCAUAUGGGUUGGGUUUUUUUUGCUAAAUGAAUAGUUAUUCCCAAUUUCCCAUCCCACAUUGGUAAAAGGAUGAAUGUUUGGGAAGUCUCCAAGUUUAUAAUAGGAGUCUAAAGCUUUGGUUUCAAAGCACCACAAUCAAUACACUUCAAGUGCUUAUUUUUUUUCUUUCUAUUUUUCUUAGAGUUUAGAAAAAUGUUAGUCAAAAACUAUAGAGAGUGUAAGUAUAAUUUGGGGGAAGUCUUGAGAGAUUAGUCCACGUGAUUGUAACAAUUAUCAUAUAGUGGAUCAUUCUUGUCGGAGGCUUGUGUUUUUUCUUCGGUUUUGGAGUUUUCUACGUAUAUUCUUGUGUCCAGUUAUAUUCUUUAUUAUUGUUAUUUGGAGGGUUGUUGGAGAUCUUUGAGGCUAUUUUCUCAACAGUAGCGGAUAAUUCGAUUUUCAUUCUUUUUUAUUACCCCAUUUUGGUAACAUUCCCAGCUUUUUUUACUUCCAAUGAUUUCCUUCUUCAUUCACAAUCUAGUUGAUAAUACCUGGCGAAUUUUGGGCUUGGGAAAUGGGAAAAUGUUUUCUAUUGUAACAUUCCAAAUUUUCAAACAAAAUUUUGAUUCGUAAAUCAUAUGAAUCCAUACCAUUCACUUAUAAAAGUAACUUCUAGUUGUUUUCAUAAUAUAAAUUAGAGUAAUUAAAGCAUAUGUUCAGAACAUUUCAAAAUCACAAUAUAGCAAAUUCGAUGUAAUCACGUCGUGCUCUUCCCUUUGUUACCAGAGGAACCUGAAACAUUUAAGCAUAAAUUGUUAGCACAAAUGUUAACGAGUCCCCCAAAAUACUAUACACGACACAGAAUAUUGGCCCAACCCAAGGGGUAUAUUUCAACCCAACAGGCCCAACCCUAGUGAAUGUUAUGAUCCAACCAUAGUCUUACAGUCACUUUCGUGGCAACAGUACAACUACAAUCUUUCACGUUAUGAUCUAAUCAUAGUCUUUAAUGCAAGUCACAAAAACAAACAAGCAUAUAAUGACACCUAGUUUCCUACUAGUAUAGUGAGAAAAAUCACCUGAAUCCCAAAGCUGAAACCGACUACUUAUAGUCUUAAUAAAUCAGCUACACAAACCAACUAACUAAUCACAAAUUAAACCUCAGCCUAUAGCUCAAAACCUUCAUCGUUAACCCAAAAGUCGAAUUGGUCAAAUAGUCAAAAAAGCCAAUGGUCAAAUGUCAAAAUCAACGGUCAAAGUUAUUCAUGUCGUGAUCCACUAAAUGGCAAAAUAUUCGCGUUUUGCCCAAAACUCAUGCCACGAACCCCAAGAGAGUCGCGCCAUGAAUUCCCAUUUGAACCAACUCUUUUUAAUUCCUUCAAUCAUUAAGUAUAGAGCUCAUAAGCUCAAAUCAAGACCUUAUCAAUGACUUAAUGGAUAAAGUUUUCACCUUUUUACAUUUUCAUGUCUCAAAAACACCAUUUUGCAACCUAUGUCAUAAAGAAACCCAAAAUUCCACUAAGGACAUGCAUGGAUAAAAAAAAAAAGCAAGAUAGAAACCUCUCCAUUUGACCACAAUAGGUUCAUCAAUCAUAAAAUGCAACCUUUAAACCUAGAGUUUUCCAAAAUCUAACAAAGUAUGAACCAAGAGAGCAAAACAUGCCUAAAAACUUAGAUCUGCUAAGAAGAACACAUAUAGCUUGAAACUUAAGGACUUAUAAAGGUCCAAAAGAUGUUGAGCAUGAUGGAUAUAAGUUGGGACAAAGCCUCCUUGCACCAAGAGAGACUUCCUUCACCAUCAAGAUUCAUCAAAAGAGGCAUAAACACUCAAAACUUGAGCAUGGAGGCUAGGAUUAUUGUAAGGAACGUUUGGAGAAGAUAUAGGUUGACAAAUGACAUAAUUCCAAGAGAUCAUGCCUUAAAAUAUGGAGUAACCCCUAAAAAAAGGGCAUGGGUUCCAACAAAAAUCACAUUGUGAUGCCCUAUGGAUCACGUCGUGAUAGAACUAAUCUAGUAAGGCAUAAAUAAACUUAAACCUAAGCUUCCUUCCAACCCAAAACUGAACCUUAUAUCUAAAAUAUUAUUCUCUUAGCCCAAAACCUCAUUCCUUUAAGGUCCAAACUUCAACCUUUAAAGCCCAAAACCUUCUCAUGAUCAAUUAAGUUCGUCUUCCCAAAUAAUGAAACAUCCCAAAACCGGGUGUUACAUCUAUCUAGCUACUACUACAUACGACCAAAAUUUUGAGGGCCCUUUGGAAGGAUAGGCCAUGGUCGAUUCCAUACUAAAAUAAUCGAAAACCACCACCAGCUACCUACAACCACAAUCGGAAAAUCAUGCCACACCAGAAGAAAGUUUAAAUUAAAAAAAACAAACCAGGAACCUAAUCUUGAGCAAAUCAAAGGAGAACCCAGGAAAAUCAAAGCAAAGAAACCAAGAAAUAGGAACCAAACCAAGAAAAUCAAACCUAUAGGAAAUCCUUGGAGGAACUAGAUUGAGAAAAUCGUUAUAAAAACUAGAGAUUCUGAUGGGUGGAAUUAUGUUUUAGCUUCUUUGGAUUCCAGAUCAUGGGGCAGCCUUAGAUUUCCUUUGGAGAAGAUAGUAGUGACCAAUGUUAUUCACGUAUAAGGAAACAAUUCCAAUGUAGGGACAUGGUUCGAGAUGGUGGUUGAAGUGGUUUAGGGAAAUGGAGAUGGGUGAAAGUGAAAAAGGAUCAUGAUGAUAGCGGUGUUAGCUCUAACGGAUCUAACCAUGUCUUCAAGUUCACCAGCUCUAAUGGUAGCCCUGACGGCAGAGAUUAAGGGGAACGUGGAAAACCAAUUCCAAUGGAAGAAAUCAAAUGGAUCUAUGGUUGAAUGCAUUUGACGUGACGAGAUAAAGAGAUAGGUGGGACCCAAUUUUUCUUUUAUAACGAAAAUGAUUAUUUAAAAUAUAGAAAAUGUCUAAUAAAGGCAUCAUAAUCUUUAAGUAUGGCAGGAUAAAAGGCAUAACAAAAAGAAUAUCUUAAGACGGUCUGAAUACAAGAAAAAAGAAUAAUAACUAAUGUACAAUUUUGACUAAAUGUUGCAAAAUGUUACAUCAUAGCAUCGUUUUAUUUUCAUAUGUAGUUGAUUCUUAACUCUCCUACAAUGACUUUUAUACCCUUUUUAAUUUUUUAAUUUUUUUUAUUUUAGUUCUUUUAUUUAAUUUCCAUUUUUUUAAAAAGGGGGGAAAAUAGACUCACCCCCUUCCCACCCAACCCCAUAUACCCUUUCACUGUCCAACCCAUAUCUCUUUCCUUAUUUUUCUUUACUUUUAUACUUCUUCUUCCCCACCUACUUCAUCUGAAAACUUACAAAGAAUAACAAGAUAAACCUCGUCGAAUAGGAGGUCAUCAAAGAUGGUGGCCUUAGUCCUUGUCACUCCCUGUCAUUACUCUAACUACACACUAUUUUGCUAUGUCGGUCACGACACUGUUAUGUUCCAUUGUUGCCAUUUUUCCUAUCACCAUCUCUCUUCUAUCGGUUACAAUUUUGCAUCCUCACCUCUUUAUGGAGCUUCAAGCACUAGAUGCUCCACCUUACUUGUAGGUGUUACUCUACUACUCAUUGAUUGUAGAACUUUUGCUACUACUACUAGUCUUAGACAAGCUAAACCCUAAGGCUACAAGAAAAAAAACCCAUCAAUACAAGGGGGAGAAGAUUAAUUCAUAAGAAAACUUCCUAAGUAGGCAUUGAUUCCAUCAUGGAUAAUGCUUCAUAUUCUAAAGAAAAAAGAAAUGCAAGUUGAAACCAUUCCUUCACAGCCCUCAAUUUUUGCUUGACGAAGUAGCCUUGAAUAAGGUGUAGUUUAUUCCUAGAUUAAUUCUACCCAAGCCUUCCCCCUUUAAGGAUUUACAUCCCUAAAUGAUUUCAUUUGGUGCUCAGAUAAGUACAAGGUAUUAAUCCACAUUCUUAGCAAGAAGUUUGUCCUUCCUUAAAGGAGAAUAUGUAAUGGUAUAGGGAUUCAACAUUUUAAUCAAAAUGGUAUUAAAGCUUAUGGGCAAAAAUUAAGUAAUAAGAACACAUAUAUCAUUUGACAGGGGUUUAUAUAUGGCAGUUGGAUAUUGUGAAAUUAGCGUUCGGAGUUGAAAAGGGGGUGGUAGCGAAGGAGGUAGAUGAAGAACGAUAGGGUAUAGGAUGGGGUAGUGUGUAUUUUUUAAAAUUACUAUUAUCAAAUUUUAAGAAUAAGUAAAGAAAAAAGAAGAUGUUAGAAAGGGAAUGAUAGUCUUUUUGUAUGGAUAUGGACCAAUCUUGCAAGCAAAUAAAACCACGAGGACCACAUGUGUGAUGUCCUACAACAUUGUCCUUAAAGCAAGACUCUUUGUAAACAGCAAGGAUAAAUUUUGAAAUUUUGUCUUUACUUUGUUAAAUAUAUAAUUUAGUGCUUUUAUUUCAUUUAUAGUAUAACUUGUAUAUUCUAAUUAUCUUAUUUUAUGAUAGAGUCUUAUCCACUUGUUCUUUCAUGAGGUUUUUACUAAACUUUUAGAUUCAUUAAUUAUAAAUAUUUAGAAAAUGUAAGUCACAUUUUGUGUUUAGACUCACUCAUGCUAAUAGUAUAAUUUAUUAUGCACGAUGUACAACCACUCUCCAUACCUAACUAUUGUUUCCAUCCUUUUCUUCUAGUAGCUUCCACAGAAGCAUGUUUCAGCCGAACAAAUGCUUUUCACGCUCGAUGGAUGUCGCCUGUCUCCUGAUGAAAUUAUAAAUAUUUACAAAAUGUAAGUCACAUUUUGUGUCUAGAUACAUUGUAGCUAAUGGUAUACUUUAUGAUGCAUGUUAUACAACCAUACUCAACACAUUGCUAUUGUCUAUAUUGUAUACUUCUCUUCUAGUAGUUUCCACAGAAGUAGGCUUCAACCGAACAAAGGGUUGUCAUGCUCGAUGCAAGUCGCUUGUCUCCUAAUGAAAUGGUCGCAUACGUAAGUGCGUCUCAUCCACUUCUUUCAUUUUCUGUCAUAAGGUUUUCUCUUCACAUGACUGCUUCUUCUUAUUUUCUUUGAUUUCUUAUCCUUGGGCCUUCCGAUUUUUGUUGUCAACAUAAUUUCUCAAGUCUCCUUGAACUUAUAGACUCUUUGAUAGCAUCUACGUUUACAUAAAUGGCAUCACUUUGGACCAAUCUUCCCAAAUCCUCUUGUUAAGCUCAUAUGUCCAACUAAUUAACAUACAUUAGCUUCUUUCAUAAAUAAUAACAUAAAUUUCAAUUUUCAUCAAUAGAAACCAUAAUUAUGAUCAGUUUUGGUUUGUGAUUAUGUUAACAGGUCUUAUCAAAAAUAGGAAAAGACUAAAAUCCCUGUUCUUUAUACUAAAACAUCCAAAAUAAUAUUCACCAGACCAAGACCUACAAAAUAGACACAAAUAUUAAAAUAUGUCAGAAAAAAAUUGUAAAAGUAGAUGGAUUCCUAAUAUGAAUUAAAGGAUUUUGUGUACCUUUUUGGCCUCAAACACAUCAAAACUUAUGGAAAAAAGAUGUAAAAACGUUGUUGAAUUAUACAACAUAGAGUAAAAUAGAUUAACAGAGCAAAAGUAGCAACCUAAAGAUUCACUAGAGCCCAAAUCACAGCCAAUGAUAUUGCCGACAUAAAGUCAACUCUUUUCCCAACUUUCUAUCCUAAACCACUUUCUAUAACCCUUUUCAACUACAAUAUCAGUAAACAUCAGAUCAUAUGCAUGGUUCAUAUAGAAAAGCCUAUUUAAAUCAAAAAUUCUCUUCUCCAAAUCCUAUAAAGAGAGAAAUGGCCAUGAAUCAAUGGAAAAAAUUCCUUGUAAAGAUGAUUCGAAAUCCCAAGUGUAAAAAAAAUGAUCUCUAAGAGCUAAUAUGACUAAGAAACUUAUAGUUGAUAUCAAAUCCAACUCCAUUUAUGAUCCUAUAACUACAUGGUCCUAGCAAUGGAACCUAAUAUGAUUCUUGCACAUACUUGAAGAAUAAACUUAUUUGCUUUUGAAAUAAAGCUACUCAAAUAGAUACACCUCUUCAAAAGCACAUCAAGGUUGUUAAAUUCUAAUGGAAUGUCCAUCUAGGAAAGUCAAAGUGUUGUGAAAACAAGGAACAUGGACCAUCUUUAUUUAUAAACAGAUGGAUACCUUAAAAACUCAAAAAAAAAAUUUGUCCUAUGUGUUUUUUAUACUCUCAAUCUUUCUGUAUAACUAUCAAGUUUUAAGUUAUAUGUGAUUUUGGAACAAGUGCUAAAGAAAUUAUGUAGUAUGUUCUUAUGGAACUACUGCUAAAGAAAAAUAAAGUGGGUUGAAAGAAAAGUAAAGUGGUUUGAAAGAUUGACAACAUCAUUUUCCUGAUGUGCAUCAUAAGUUAUAUGGAUGUGUGAAAUACUCUUCUAAGUGCUUAAGUGAUGUGAUAUAGGUUAAGAGAAUCAAAAUAUCACUUUGCUAACCUUUCUUAGGUUAACAUCUAUAAUAUGUCACUUGCUUCCCCUCUGUUUUGUAAAAUUAUAAUUUUCAUCCCUUUAUUUAAAUAAAUAUGACUUUCACCCCUUCCACCUUCAACUUUGCAAAAUGUCACCUUUACCCCUUCAUUUUCAAAAUUUUCAGGUUUAUCCCCCAUACCCGUAGUAUAUAUAAUAUGAUUUUCACUCCUCUACUUUGUAAAAUGCAUUUUCCUAUUUCUUUGGCCAUUGCUAUUUGUCACUUUUCUUUACAAACGUUUACACAAAGAGAAAUAGUUGAUAGGUUUUAUAGGUUACAUUAAACAUAUUUUCACAAUGGAAUUAACACAUAACCUAAUUAUAGGCACAUGCAACCUAUGGAUCUAUGUUUUUACACAUUAUAGAAACAUACUAUUGAAACUACUAGAAACCCAAGGUAUAAUCGAAAGUAGAAUAACAUAUCUUUAGUAAUAGAAUUGCAUGUAUCACUCUUGAUCUUCAAUUGGUCUUUAGAAAGCUAGCACAAAAAUUAUGGAUAUCUCUAGUGUCUCACACCCGAACCCUAGAAACUAUAAAAUUCNUCAAGCGACAAACUCAAUGAAAAUUACAACCCUAUGGGUCCUUUUAUAGCUUCCAGAUUUCAAAGGAUAAACCCUCAUUUUAAUAUUAAAAUAAUCCAUCUUAAUCCUUAUUCAAAUUAGUUUCCGUAUAUGCAUUUAGAGGCUUCCAUAUGUCACACCCCCAAACCGGAACGACGAAAACAUUCGGGGGCGGAGGAUGUCAUGUACAGUAUCACAACAAUUGUAUAAUAGUAGUCAAAGCAACAACAACCUUUGUAUUAAUAACAUAGUAUUUACAUUGUGUUCAAAAUAUUACUUGUUUAACAUUAAAACUAUAGUAAAAGAUAAGACGUAAUGCUACUAUGCUCCAUCUUCGUAACGCCUGAGAGGGUACCUGUCUACUAAUAUUCCUAAGAAUACAUGUGGUUUGAAAAAAUGUCAAUAUCUAAGUUGGUGAGUUCAUAGUAUUUUGUUGGAAAAUAUGUUAUUGGAAAUGUUAAUAUGUUCUUCUAGAAAAUCCAAUAUUUUCUUAGUAAAUAAAUCGUAAUCUUGGUACUUUGAGACUAAAAAGUAUAAGUUUCUUAUAUUUAUAACAUGUGAUUCGAGGUUAGGAUUCAUGUGAUUGGUAUGACCCGUAUUGUUACCUCCUAUGAUUAUUUAGUGUAUACAAUUUAUAUAAAAUCAAAGUCGAACGGACAGUCGAUUGGGUGAUUCUGCCCUAAGCCCACAACCAAACAAGGAACGGGAAGAAAGGCGGAAAUCACACAUUUCAUUGCCUAUCAGAUCUUUAUUAUAUAUAAUUGUAAUGUAUAUAAUAAGUAAUCAUAGACUUUAGUAAAAAGAAUAUUUGAUAUAUGUUUUCUGAAUUUUUGUUCGCGCCAUAUUAGUAAAUAAUAUAAUAUUUUGCCUUUUGUGAAACUAUGUGUAAAUCUAGAAAUUUAGUACUUACAAAUAAUGUAAUAUUGUUUUAUUAUUUAAAUAAAACCCUUGAAAGUAUAUUUGCUCUGAAAUCUGAAUGUAAGGUUAAUAAUAAAAUAAAAUUAUUUGAUAAUAUAUUAUUCGUAAAUAUGUCGUUGUUUUCUCCUUAUGAGUUCUUAUAACCAUACUAAACCAGUCGACCUAAUCGCGACGUUCUUGAAGCAUCGAAAUGUUAAUGACAUUUGUCACCGUAAGCCUGCCGGCCUGACUUUAGCUAACAGUUGGGAUGUGGGAUUGUCAAUCCCAAAUAGAUCUAUACAUAAAUAUCCCGCUGUCACAACAAAAGAUUCUUGUUAUAAGGCAGGACUUUUACCCAUACUUAGAUAAGUACAUGAAGACAUCUCACAAAUUUCUUCAACAUUUUUACGAGUAAUAAUUGAAAUCCCUUUUUGUUUAGAUGUUAAUCUGAUCUUUGUAAAAUAGUUCCUUUGUUUCAUAAACUAUAUAUAUUAUAGUUUAUAAGUUUGUUUCCAUGAUGUAACCUGAACUUUAUAAAAUAGUAUCUUUGUUCCAUAAACUAUACCUAUUAUAGUUUAUAAGUUUGUUUAUUUCGUUGAUUGAAUGUCGUUGCGUCUUAACAUGUUUUUAAAUCUUUGUAAAUUUAAUAAUAACAAUGUUUUGCAUAUUUAAUAAAUUUCACGUUUAACUUCAUAUUAACGGCAAGAAAACAUAAUAAGAAAUUUAUGUUUUUAAACACAAUAUUUCUUGUGUGUUACUUGUAUUCCCCCCUAAAACAAUUUAAAAAUUAUGAAAAUGUAGGGGUAUGAAGUCACCUUAAGUGUGAUAACGGUUUUGAUAACGGAAUAGAAUCGGUGACUUCGAUUUAAAGUACGUAAGAAUAGUCGUAUCCUAAUAGUUUAUACGCAUAUUAACGGGUAUAAAUUAGAUAAUCUAAUAAUUUAAAGUGUUAAAUAACACUAGUUAUAUAAUUAAAACUAACCAAAACUGAUGACUUGUAAAGAAGAAUGUCUCUUGGAACUUUAAAUUGAGAGGAAAUAUGCUUGAUAUUUGAGAGAAAAGAAGUUUGGAAUUUGGAAGAGUUUGUAAAUAAUUUUGUUUAUUGGAAGUAUGAAGUGAAAUUGAUCUUUAUAUCAUAACUUACAUAGGAAGGAAAAGGUAAGUCGGUUGAGGUGAUUAUCACAUUACGAAGAUAAAUGUGUGAAAUAUCUAACAUUUUGAGAGGUUUUCGGCCGAGAACUCUACCCGAGAAAGGAGUUUUUGGUCAUGAAGCUUGCGGUUCGAGUGGUUUGCGGUUGGACUGAUUUCGGUCCGAGGUGAGGUCUUGCGAGGGUUUGCAGUCCAACUCGAUUUCGGACUGAGGGGGUAGUCUCUCAUAAGGUUUUCGGUGGGUGUUCUUGGUGUCAUAUGGAGUCACCAAAUGGUGAUUUCGGUUCAUCCAAUUUGAGAUUAAAUUCUCAAUUAUCGAAUAUAUAAAAUGUUUAAAUAAAUAAUAACAUUAUUUGACAUAAUACUUGACGUGUUUGACUUUUAUUUAACAUGUUUGAAUUUUGUUGACUUGUUUUUUACCUUUAUUGAUUUCGAAAUAACGGGUUGUUACAUUAUCCCCCCGUUAGAGGGAAUUUCGUCCCGAAGUUGUUUCUAAAGCAGUUAUUCCUUGAACUAGAGAAAAGGACGUGGGUACUUUUGUUUCAUUAGACUUUUCUGUUCCCUAGUGAAUUCAGGUUCUCGCUUGGCGUUCCACCGGACCUUCACUAAUAGUAUGCGACCUUGUUUUUCUUAGUCUGACUGUUUGUGUUAGGACGUUAUUGUACUUAAGAUGGUAGAAAGUGUGGGUUUAGUUUACUUGUUUAUGGAGUAAGCUAGGAAGGUUUGGUACCACUCGCAUAGGAACUUCUGAGUUUUGAAGUGAGAGAUGAUACGAAGGUUUAUGUCAGAUUUAUCGUUAUAGGUUGAAAAGAUUUUGUUAGACGGUCGGUUAGAGCGAAGAGUCUUUCCGGAGCACAUGGACUUGGUAUAGUGAGGACCAAGCCAAUCCAUUUCUAAUGGCCACUUCGGAACUUCUUAUAGUAACAGGCGUUAAGUCGAUUAGGAAGAAGUGUUUAUUUUGAGCGAUGGCAUCUUCUGUGUAUAUGUCUUUAGUGCCUUCUAUUUUAUUCUUGUUAUUACUGUUGCGAAUAUUUGCACCAUAUUUAACUAGUAUAGGUAGUAAGAGUGCUAUGAUAAUUAAUGAUGAAAUCUCGUAAUAUGAUCCCUACAACAUCCCUCCAUUCGCUUAGUGUAUACAAAUCAUAUAUAGUUAAGAUUGAGAAGACAGUCGACUGAGUAACUCUCCCUAAAUCCACAAUCAAACAAGAAAUAGGAAAUCAGGCAGAAUCACUCACUCUAAGUCUGCAGAAUCUUAACUAUAUAUGACUCUAAUGUUACACUAAGCCAUCAUAGCUCACCUAUAAGGAUCCUUAGUUUUUAUAUGAAUGAUGUGUUUUAUUUGUAUGAGAAGGAAAUUUAUGAUUUUGAUUUUUAAUUGUCAAAAACUUUUAUGAAAAUUCGAUGCUUAAUUAUUGUUAUUUGGAAAACAUACCAAAAAUUCCAGAAGGGUUCCUCGUUGCUUUAUCCGUUGGAUUAAUGUCUAAGUCCAUAACUAUAAUUGAUAAGACUUGACCCGACCUGACAUGGUCCAUUUGGGUUGCAUGGCAUCGAGACAAUUGGAUAGACAAGAUGAGAAAAAGGAUACUAGUGAUUUAUAUUAAUAUAUUAUAAGUUCUAAUAUAUUAAUAUAUAAUCAUAUUAUUUAAUUAGUGUUCAUCAAGAAUUAAUUUAUAAUUAAUUAAGUGAUCAAAAGGAACUAAUUAAAUAUGGACUCUUAAAUAUAUAUGUGUGAUGGGCCAAGUUCAUUUAGGUUGGGUUAAGCUUUCAUGGAUAGUCCAUGGAGUUUUUAAACCAUGGAUCAUAUGAAAAGAAGGGUCAUGGGUUUAACCCUAAUCUCCAUACUAUAUAAAGAUGUCCUUGGUUGGUGAAAUGGGCACUAGUGUAUGUAGACAAAAGGGCAAGGCUAAUUUCACUAAAGAGAACCAUAGUAUCCUUAUUCUCAAGUUUAUUCCAAGUGUUCAUGGUUUUGUGUGAACCAUUUGAGGUGUCACACUUGGGGCACUAGGCACUCAAGCUUCAUGAAGACAAGUUACAUCAACACGGUAUGUAUUCUAACUUGUUAUAUUACCCAAGUAUCAAAGAUUGUAUGCUAGAUAGGGAAAUACAUUGGAAUAUUCAUAUUUGCAUGUAUAAUAGAGAAAACAUACAUCCAAGGUAUUUAAGGUUGCAUGUACACUUAGGAGUGUUAGAAUCUUCAAAACCCAACAGUGGUAUCAAAGCCAUGGGAUGUUUUCUGUUAUAUUGAUGCAAAUGUUUUAUUUACAAAAUUGAAAAAAAAAAAAAAAAGGAAUCAAAUCAUGAUGUUUGUCAAAUUUUAAGAUAAUUACUUGUUUUUGUGAAAAACUAAUUAUUUGUAAAAUUUGAAUCAUUAGCUAUAUGAGUUGAAUUAGGUCAAAUUUAGUAAAAGAUAAAAUGAUAUGAUUAUUUUAUUAGUUUUAAAAGUUUGAUCAAAAUGGUGUUUUUUUUUAACCUCCAUAAGUUAUGUAUAUGAAAAGAUUUUAAAAAAUUGAUUCAAAGUUUUUUAUGGAGUUACAAAAUUUGGUGUUAAUGUUUUAAAGAAUUCCAUAACUUAUUCUUAAGUUAUGGAACAUGAAAAGUUUCAUCAUAAAACAAGCAUUUAACUCCAUAAGUUAUGGAUUACCAAAAGUUUUAUGUUUCCUUGAUUUAUGAGUUAGUUUAGAUUAAUGAAAAAAAAUUAUGUUUUAGUUGUUUUCAAUCCUAAUUAAUCUAGAGGUAGUUCAUAAAAUGUGUUUUUGUAACUUGUCCUCAAGUUACAUAAAAGGUCACAUUUAUGAAUCUUAAAACUCAUAAAAGUGUCAUAGGUUACAUAAAAANNNNNNNNNNNNNNNNNNNNNNNNNNNNNNNNNNNNNNNNNNNNNNNNNNNNNNNNNNNNNNNNNNNNNNNNNNNNNNNNNNNNNNNNNNNNNNNNNNNNNNNNNNNNNNNNNNNNNNNNNNNNNNNNNNNNNNNNNNNNNNNNNNNNNNNNNNNNNNNNNNNNNNNNNNNNNNNNNNNNNNNNNNNNNNNNNNNNNNNNNNNNNNNNNNNNNNNNNNNNNNNNNNNNNNNNNNNNNNNNNNNNNNNNNNNNNNNNNNNNNNNNNNNNNNNNNNNNNNNNNNNNNNNNNNNNNNNNNNNNNNNNNNNNNNNNNNNNNNNNNNNNNNNNNNNNNNNNNNNNNNNNNNGUGUAACCUUAAUUAAUUCCAUAAGUUAUAAAAUAAAGAAAAGUUAAUUCUUUUAUUAGUUUAAAGUCUUCCAUAACUUGUCCUCAAGUUAUGGAACUUGAAGAGUUUUUGGAUUAAAACUACUUUAAACACAUAAGUUAUGGAAUUAAUUAGUUUUGAAUAGUUUCAAAACUUGCCCUCAAGUUUUGGAAUUUGUAAAGUUUUCACUUAUGAAUACUUUAAUUCCAAGUUAGCCCUUAGAAUUUUAAAAGUUAAAAUUCAACCCUUAUACUUUAUAAUAUUAUAAGUUAAUAAUAUAUAUAUGUAUAAGAGUAAAGUCAGUCUUACCGCUAGUACGCCUCAUUCACGAAGCCGGUCUAUAAGGUGGGUAUAAGGUUGUUGCCUAUAAAAUGGCAACUUAAUGGGUGUCCACUCUCACCCACCGCUUCCUUGACUGGUGGAGGGUCGUUAGCCGAACGGGUAGGACAAGGACUAUAAUUCUCCCUUCAUUAAAAGUAUUAAUGAUAAUACUAAGUAACUAAACUUCUUAGUAAUACCCAAUCUUAGUUACUUAGGAAAAUGUGAAUUUGCUGCUAAUCCAUGAAAUUACACUUUGCACUUUGUUUAAGUCGGUUAGUGGAGCGUGUGUGGUUAACUGGCACACUAACUCGUAUUUAACAAGGUAGGCAAAGGGUAACUUAAUGUUUAUCAUAGUAUCGAUGGAGCGUGUGUGGUUAACCGGCACAUCGAUUGAGGGGUAAACACUUAAGGGUACCAAGUUAUUUGCAUGGUUACUUCACACCUUGUUUUGUGAUCCUCGGCAUCCCAGUCACAAAACCUGAAGGGCACACUCGAGAUUGAAACAUGCCAUUGAAAACUUCAAUGAAUCUCAAAAGAAUCUAGGAGUUUCAAAACCAAUUAAAACCUAAUAAUACAUUUCGUUUAUCUUGGUGGAAAUUGGUGAAUCGUCAUUCACCUACCUUCAAAUAUUUUAUAGCUUGGAUUACGGCAUCCCUCUUCCGAAAAGUUGUCUAAUUCAGACAUCUAUGAUCUUCACAAAUCUCUUGGAACUUCACUUCCUUCAUCUCCUCCAAUUAUUCUCUCUAACCCACAAUUUCAAGGUCACUCGAGCCCUAUUGGCAAGCAAAGUCUAUGUGUGCUCACAUCUUGGAGAUAAAGUCACAUAUUAACAAGCCGAGAGAGUUGGGUGUCAAAGUCUUGAGAAAGUUGGAUGUUCAAUCACUUUCUAUGUCACCUAGUGAGUUCCUCUGGGACUAACAUGGAAUAGACUAUGACAUGACCCUUAAUGAUCUUAUCUAUUUGCUUGGUGCUUCUAAAUCAACGAUGAUUAAGAGGACUAGUAAAGCAAAUUUGAUUAGAAUAUCAACUUCCCAAACUUCCAUAGACAUUGACAAUGGUACAUGGUAAGGGGCAAUGGAUACGAACUUGCCAAAUUUACCUGAAAGAUCUUCAGGUAAAGUCCACUAUCAAACUCUGUUAAGUUUCUAUUAUGAGAUUCUUAUUACAUGAUGUGACUAGGUCACAUAUUGAUUGUAACGCCCGUAGAUCCGGGCUAGCCAAUUUAGGGAUAAUAGGGGUCGAAAACGACUUUUCUCCACAAGAUUAUUUAGAAUAAAUAAUCUUAACAAUGUUAUAGUAUAUGUCACAAGGUUUCCGUACAUAUAAAGAACGCCGAAAUCCGAGUUAUAACGAAGAAGUUAUGACCCGUCGAAGUUUCGCGUCGGAACCGGCACGGCGCCGGGAAGCGUAAAUAGUAAAUUUAUGAUAGAGAGAGAUUUAGCCUUAGCGCUCUAAACGAAAGUCGUAGAAUAUGUUAAACUAAGAACAUCGAUAAAAAGAACGCCCAAAUCUGACUUCGUAUGAAGAAGUUAUGAUUUUUCGAAGUUUCGGAUUAGCGGUGUACAGCCCGAAAUUCGAAUUUUAGAUCGAUUGAUUUUUAGCCGACACAACCUAAACGAGAAUCGAAGAUCUCGUUAUUAGUAGCGUAACGAUAAAAAGACAGACGAAAAUGGACAUCGGAUGAAGAAGUUAUGAGAUUUUAACGGACCAAUCCUGUCCCGGCCUGUUAAAAAUAUAACUUUAAAAAUAAAGUCAAAAUUAGCCGACGGAGUCUAAACGAAAGUUGUAGAGUACGUCUCCACCUACGCGUGGAUAUAAAGAACUUCAAAAACGGAGUUCGUAUGAACGAGUUACAAAUUAUAAUAGCCUAUUUACGUAUUAAAAUAAAGUAUAAAUCAUAUAUACGUACACAUAUAUAUACAUAUGUAUAUACCAUUAGAAAGGCAUCGACGAUGCGGUCAUUAUAAGACUAAUGUUGAGUUCUUUCGACAUUAGUUUAGUACAAAUAUCAUUAAAUCCAUUUAAAAUAGUAUUAUAGAGGGGUGUUUAGUUGUUUAUAUAACUAAAAGGUCAUUAAGUAAUUAUGGAGGGUAGUUUUUGAAAAUUCAAUUAGUAUAAAUAAGAGCCUUGGGCUCUCAUAUUUCUUGCACCAUUCUCUUGAUUCAAGAGUCUUUCUCUCCUUAUCCCCCGAGCAUUUCGGUCCCUCGUGAUUCGACUUCUCUUUCUGUAGUUUUAGUAUAGUAAGGUGAGCGCUGAAGCGCUGCACGAAUCUUUCUUAGAAAGAUUCAGCGACGAAGUUCUGCCCCUGCAGAGCCCGACUCCUAGCUAAAAUCCCCUUGUAAGUAAGUUAUGCUUACCCUAUUUUAAAUAUAGUUUAUAUUUAAAAUUAGUAUUGUUAUUAUAAAUUUAUAAUAAAUAUUUGAGCUAUUAUUAUGACUUAUAUAAGUGUCGUUAUAAUAUCUUUUUAACUACUCGCGGUACGGGGAAUCUGGUUUAAAGGGCCGCAUAGGGUUGUUGGAUUUCAGAAGUGCUAUAUGCCAAAAUGGUCCUGCCCUCCGGUGUUUUAUGUCUGGCCCCUGUCUGUACAUAGUGGUUGGAAAGUAUUGUUUAAACGCUUAUAUAAUAAUAAUAAUAAGACUAAUAAUUAGUCACGGUAAAUAUUAGACUAAAAUCUAGUGGUAAUAAUACUAGGUUUCGUCGAAGGAAAUUAUUUUAAAGUAAACGAAGCGCUGUCCGAGUACCGAGUCACCACCUUCUCAGGUGAGUGCAUAGUCCCUUUCAUCUUACACAUAGAUAUGAAGUAUUUUAAUAUAAAUUACGUGUUGUGUGUGCAUAUUGUCUGAAUACUUGCUGUCUAUGCUGGGUGAAAGAUUUUUAUACAUGUUUUAAAUGAUUUAAACUGUAUAUGUAUUUUAUAUCUACAAAAUGUGUUGGGUAAAACAUGGGUAGAUGAAAUAGUUGUUUUGUGAUAACACGAUGGGAGACAUCAAUGUUGUCAGUGAUCCAGUCAUCUAGUGGAGUAUAGAUGAUGACCAUGGGCGAUACUAGACGGUCCGGUGGAACGCUAGUAAGCUCGUAACCUGUAGGUGUUUUUGAACUAGGUGCUCAUUAGGUAUUUUGAACUGAGUGUGUUCACUACGUAUCUUUGAACUGAGUGUGUUCACUAGGUAUUUUGAACUAAGUGUGUUCACUAGUUACUUUUGAACUAAGUGUUUACCAGAUGUUUUGGACUACGUGUUCACCAGUUGUAAUCUAUAAGCUUUGGUAACGAUGGACUUCGUGCCGAUUCCUUAGGAUAAUCCUUAGGAAUGAAUGAACGAGAAAUAGCUGAUUCUUAGGGUAGAUCCUUAAGAGUAAAGAAGAUAAUGGGGAUGGGUAAUUGGGUUUAAUUGCUUGAUUGUUUAAACAUAAUAAUUAUAUUAUUGUGGGUUGAAAACCCUAUGUACUCACCAGGUUUCCCAACCUGACCCACUCAGUUUAUUUAUAUCACAGGUGUUGAUAUGAAGUCACAUUACACUGAGAGAUUAAAGAGAUGUAGAUCACUAGUGUAAAUAAAUGUAAGUUCUGUUUCUGCUUAUGUUUCUGUAUUGACAAUGACAUCCCAAAUGUUUUUAAAUGAAUAAAAUACGUCUCUUCGAAAAUGUUUUAAUAACGUAUUUAUUGUGUUUUUCUGGGAACAAAUUCCGCAACAUUUUUAUGAAAAGAAGUACUCUGACUUUUAUAAAGCAUAAAUAAAACCGGUCUUUUCUGGCCGUGAUUUUGGGGAUGUCACAUUGAUGUUUUAAGAAUCAAAGAAAAAGUGAAGAAGGAAGUAUAUGUUGAUUCUAAUCGCGAAGAUGGAUUUCGAUCACAUGGUUCGGUGAUCAGAAUUUUGAGUUGUAACAACAAGUUUUUCAUAUGCUUUUGCACUGUAAGGAUAAGUUUUCCGCAAAGUUUUAAAUAAAAUUUUUGGUUUUAUUUAUUCUAAGUAUCCUUACAAUGGGAUUUGUGAAAAAUUGUUGGUUAUAUGAUUCCAUUGAUAGCAAUAUUGGAAAAUGGAUUUGAUUCUUUCAUUUGUGGCAGUGUCUAAAUUUACCAAACAAUGAAAUAUUCUCAUCACCCAAGUUUCAGUUAGAUAGAAACUUGGAAUCAUGCAAAUUGUAUGAUGAAUGAGAAUUUUCAUCUUUGAAAUAUUAAGACUAAUUCCUUGUUCACAUGUUUAAGUGAAUCAAGUGAAGGACUAAGGGAUCAACUACACAUCCAUGUGCACUAGUCAAAGUUCACAACAAAAUAUCAAUAAUACUAUUCGUCAUGUUUUACAAAAGUUUAGUAAAUAUGGUUAUACUUACAAGUUAAUGUAUAAUUCUGAAACAUUGGAAAAGUUUCAAUGUAUAGCAGAACGAAUAAAAAGAAUCAAAUUAAGCAGAAGGAUAAAAGUUUCUCAAAUCUGAAAAGAUGGGAGAGUACUUUAGUAUCAUGUAAUAUGAUCAUCUUAAUGAUUAAGAGACCUUAUCACAAUUCAUCCCCUAAGUGCAUUUUGAUAGCUAAGAAGAGGAGCUAUGAAUUGUUGAAGUGNUGGUUAAAUCAAGAAGAUGAGUCUACUUCGUUCUAAAAACAAUUCUAAGAGUUAUACUCUAAGAUUGUAACUUGAGUGACAUGUCUUAAAGAAGGUUUAAAAACACUUGUCAAAUGUAAGAGUAAAAGUUUUCUACUCUUGUACAUUUGAAAUUCGUAAUAUGUGAUGUUUUGGAUAAAACAAAGAUCAACUAAUGCCAAUUAUGUUAAGUGUCUAUCUUGAUUAGAAUCCUCACUAUCUCUUGAAUAUUCGGCAAGAAAGUCUUAUAGGUCAAGGAGACAAUGGGAGUCUAAAAGAUCCUAAAAGGGUUUCAAGAAGUAAUCAAGAAUAAAACCUAUAUUUCACCACUAGCACACAACUAGAGGCUUAUAACCUAUCGUGUUGACAUUUCUAUGCACAUUCCAGUUAAGUUGGCUAUACAUUGGAGUUCUACAUGUUCUCAAUUGUUUUCAUAGCUACUUGGNCAGGCCCUUGAGCUGCCAGAUGGCAAGAAAUUAAGAUUGAGUUCAGUCCAUAUGAGUUUGGAUCUGUCAUUAUCCUUGUCUUGUGACUAUGGUUUUGAAAAUUCACAUGGAUAAGAACACAUACACCAUUAAAUCUAAGUGUCAUAAGGUUUCUCUCCGAUUCAUGAAAAUGAUGGUGAGGAAACACUUUCACUAAGUAGAUUUUAGCUAGAUAGCAAUUGUCAUAUUUGCAUUCUCAAAGUCGUUGGUGGAGCGUGUGUGGUUAACCGGCACACUAACAUGGACUUGUGAGAAGUGGCAAAGGUCUAAACAAUCGAGACUAUGAUUAC